GAAAAGUCAACAUUGUCUGGUCACUCCAAAAUCUUAUAAAUGCAUUUAUAAUUUCAUGUUUGUUGCAAUGCAUUAUCUCUAGCCUUAGUCUUCAAUCAACUUGUAUAAAGGCAUCAAUCAACCCCUCUCUAUUUAUGUCACUAAUGAGAUCUUGACUUCUCAUGAUUUGUGAGAAUGAGGGAAGUCUGGAAAUUUCUUCUUUACGGUCAUAACUCAAUGCAAUCACAUUCAUUGUGUCAUUUUUUUUCUCAAUAUGGCAGGUACAAUUUCCUCAACUUAUGCAGAUGGAUCUUUCCCACAUGGACAAUUUAAGCAAAAUAUGGACUGACGGUCCUCUAGAAACUCUGACUUUUGAUUGUUUAUGGGAAGUGAAGGUUCUGAAUUGUAAGAGCCUUGAAAAUUUGUUUCCAUAUUGGGUGGCUACAAGUUUAACCAAACUUGGAAAACUUCAAGUGGAGUCUUGUGAGAUUGAGGAAAUAGUCGCUAGUGGGGAUGACACUCCACGCUCCAAUACUACUCAAGAUCUUUUCCCAAAACUAACCUCUCUGGUGUUACAUGACAUGCCACGACUCAAGAGCUUUUGUCCUAACUUGCCUUUGAAUUUGCCAUUAUUGAAGGAAUUACAAGUGACUCAUUGUGAAAAACUGAGCAUGUUAUCCUUUGUGGCAUCCAUGAACAGAUGGGCUCAAAGAGAUGAUCAACAAGACCUUUCAGAUCAAGAAGCACACUCUUCAUUUGAGAGGGUAUGAUUAUAGUUGCUCUCCCUUAGUUUCUACUUUGUUCUUUAAAGCAGUCACUAAUAUCAUAUCCAUUGCAUAUCAUGUCGCGUUAUGAUGUUAUAGAAAACAUGAUCUCCCCUACCUAUUAGUUUGUCGACAACAUUAAGAUAUUUCUAAUAUCUUACGUACACUUCCAUUUGUGGACAUGCAUAAGAUAUUCCAUUACCUAGAGUUACAAAAAAAAAUUUACAGUAUUCUAUUGAUAACAGAAUAUAUUCCUAAUCUAACCUAAUGGUGCUCUUGGGCAACAUCAAUAAGGAUUUGACAAGAGGCCCUCUCCAUUAUUGACACGUGUUGCACACUUGAACUUUUCUUCUCUAUUUCAUCUUCUACAAACUCUAAAAAAAUUAAUUCAAACAAUUUUUUUUUAUAACACAAAUAACAUUAGUACCUUAGUGCACUAUUUUCUACUGUAUAUUUUAAUACACUAGUCGUCGUGUUAUCCUGUUAUAAUACUAUAGAAAACUAGAAUCCCUUUCCUAUAAGUUUGCAGACAACAUAAGAUAUUUCUUAUAUCUUAAGCAUACUUCUGAAUUUGUGGACCCCGUAUGUUUUAGUGACAUCUUGAGUGCAUCCCAUUACAUAAGAUUCCAAAGAAGAUAAAUUUUUGUCAACAAGAUAAGAUAUUCCUUACAAAAGAUGAAUUUAGUGAGUGCAGGGAUCUUGAAUUUAGAUUCACUCUAUCCACUUGACCAGACCAACCUCUACAUGAGACUUUUAAAAGCUUGAGUCUUGAACACAAGGUUCUUGAGAUAUAAUGAACUUUAAGAAGAGGACCACCUUCCAUGCGAAUCAUCUUAAUAGGUUUACCUUUUACAGCACAUGAUUUAUUGUCGAAACUUUGUUGAAUUUACUUCUCUUGUUGUAUUGGCAAUUCGACAGGACUUUCCCAACUUGGAGAGACUUUUAUUAGUCAAUAACAAUAUUCAGAUGAUACAAGAUGGAAAUUUUCCGGAUGACAUGUUUAGCAAGCUAGAAGCACUAACACUAGCAUGCUUUCAUGAUAAAAAGGCCGCCUUUCCUUCCAUAUUCCUCCUAGAGAGAUUUCAGAAUUUACAAAGCCUUGAAGUCUUAUGUAGCUCCUUUGAAGAUUUAUUCCCGAACGAAGGGCUUGUUGAAGAAAGGAAACAUCCGGUGCUUGAAAAUUUAAGAGAACUUAAGUUGAACAAGCUACACAACUUAAAGUGUGUGUGGAGAGAAGACUCUUUAGUGUCGAAAAUUCUUCAGAGCAUCGAAACAUUUGAGGUUUGGGAUUGUCCCUGUUUGACAACAAUAUUUCCAACCGAGACAUCCUUCCAGAAUCUGAGAGAUUUAGUGGUGAAGAAUUCCUCUAGAUUGGUACAUCUAGUAACGAUUUCGGCAGUCACAAAUUUGGUACAUCUCAAUUUUAUGACUAUAAUAGGAUGUGAAAGAAUGAAAGAAGUAGUGACCGACGAUGGAAGCAGAGAAGGAAAAGUGAUUUCUUUUGAAAAGCUAAUAUGGUUGACACUUGAACAUCUGCCAAACUUAGAAUGCUUCUCUUCCAUCCCAAGUUGCAUAUUUAGGUUCCCAUCUUUAAGGAGAAUUAAAGUGGAAGAGUGCCCGAAAAUGAAGAUCUUUUCUAAGGGUACACUAAGCACACCAAAACUAAAUUCCGUGACACUAUUCAGAUACAAGUGGAAAGGGAAUUGGGAGAAGGGUGAUGAUCUCAAUACAACCAUACAGAAGUUAUCAGCAUAAAUCAAUGCACAUAGAAUUGGUAAGAUCCAAUAGAUGUCAUUCUCUCAUCCAUUUUUUUUUCUUUAGUCUUUCGGCAGCGCCGCAACUUUUUAAUAUUUUUUUUUUGUGACUUUUCUAUUAUUGAUUUCGUCAAAUCAACGUCACCGUCAACCCUAUCGAUGAUCUCGGCUCAUCCUUAACUGAACAGUAGGAAGCAAAGCGGGUCUCUCCUUCUCCUUCUUGACGCCAAAGGCUCUUUCUCCAUCUUUCUUCUUCUUCUUCCUCCUCCGUGGAGCGAAAUUGGGGGAAGCCUCUGCUGCCUUCACAACGGACGGAGCAAAAAUGAAGCAUCAGGAAUUGCCAGGACUGCGAGAAGCGAAGCUGCAAUUAGCGGAGCGGAGCCAAGUAGAUUCAACCAGACGCUGUCGUUGUCGCCGUCGUCACCGCCGGAGGUGGCACAACCGAGUCUGGACAGUUAGUCGUCCACUCACUUCAUCAAAGAAGAAGAAGAUCACACUCUCUCUCCGCAUCUGUAUCCGACAAAUGGUAAGUUCAUGUUUCUUCCGAUUUCGGUGUAUUAUUGUGCGUGAAUUAGGGCUCUCUUCUUCAAAUUCGUUCCACAUUCGAGUCUAAAAGCAGGAGUUCCUCAAACUAGCAAUUUAUUGCCCUUAAAUCUACAUCUUCUGUGCUGCCCUCCCGAGCAUUGGCGAGAUUUCUGCGUGUUUGACCUCUCAUAGAUGGAGAUGAUAUAUUGUGUUCAAGGUCUCAUGUUGAAAUUUCUUUAGGGAGAGAUAUCUCUGUAACAUCAUAUACAAAUUUCUAUCAGGAAAAAGGGAGAAAUCAUGGAACUUGAAAAUAUUCCGAGAAUUCCAUGCCUUGUCAAAAAUCUGAAAUGUCACUUUUGCGCCUUGAUCGCAAUAUAGUUUGGAUUGUCUGAAGAAUCACCUGUAAUCUUGAUUGGUUAAGUGAUGCUGGAAGGAUAAAUUUAUCUCCAAUUUAUACUAAAAUCUUUUCAUAGCAAGUCAAAUUAAUGAAGUGUACUUAAACUGUCUCUAAAGUUAUCGUUUAAGUACAGGCUGGUCCAAACAUUUGAGCAAAUUGAGGCAUCCUGAGCUGAUUUUUUAAGGUCCCAUGCCCCCAAGGCCUCUCACUUCUUACAUCGGCCAACAAAUUUCAAAUGGAGCAUCCCAAUGGAGCAUCCCUUUUUCAAAGGUGGUGAGGAGGCCCUCUUAUGUUGACUUUGGCUUGGUAUGAUCCCACGCUCAUUGACCCAAACUCGCAUGUCUGAAAAUCAAACAUAUGGAUGCUGUUUAUAUCUUUGCUUAUACUCUAGUGUAUUUCCAAGUUGACUUAAUGCAGUAAACAACAUGACAUGUUAUAUUCCUUGAAUUGUUCAUGGGUAUAUGUUUGAAACCAGGUAUAUGUCUUAACAAUGGAGUAAUUGAAGCAGGGGAAACAAUGAAAGGACGGUUAGUGGGACUUAAACUGGUGGUUGAGGUUUGAAAGAAUAACAUUUGUCCCCUUUUUGUCAAUACACGUGUUGGAAAGCAAUUGCUGAGGCAAGUCCAAAGAAUUAGAAUCCAAUUCCUCUUAUAUGGAGGAACUUGACAAUGUUAUUCAAUGCUGUAAAAGUAGAAUAUAUAUGUAAAUCACACGAGGAGACUAGUUGAUACGGACAAGCAAAUUGCAAAGAAUGUCACUAUCUCCAUAACUAGAGGGAAAGACCUGAAAGAUAAGGGGGUGGCUAGUUAUGGUUCUGAAAUUUCAUUGUAGAUCUAAUGACUGAUAAUUUUGUUUCCAAAUAGGGGAUACUAUUUUAUUUUGUUACAUUAAUCGGAAAUUUGAGAAAAAAAGAUGAGUUUACUCUGUCAAAUUGAUUCAGUAUUUUGAUAAAAUUUGAGUUGCGCUUGAAAUAAUUGAACAGCUUAGAUUAAAAUUUUUCACUUCCAUCCGUGUUCCGGUCAUUGAUGUCUUUGCCUUUUCCCCUGCUCUUGUGGUUUGUGUGGCUUAAAUUCAUCGUUUCAAAUAUAUACGGGACAUGGAAGGCUUUUUCUGGUCAUGUACCCUAUUGCACCUAGGAGCGUAUAUUUUGUCAUUUGACUUUGGGUUGCAGUCUGAGAUUGUCUACUAUCACUAUAAGGUUUAUUGUCAAUUAAAACUCCUAAAAGUAGCAACUACUGCCUUAUAUUCACGCUGUGUGAUUAGAUUCUCUCAUUAGUGUAUGCUUAUGUUUUGGUCUUUCUUCACCAGAAGUUGGUUUUCAACCACAUAAAUGAGGAGACUACUCCUGUUCAAUUCAUCAGGCAACAUAAUCAGGAAAACAAGGUAAUUGCAACUCUCAGGUAUUCAGACAGGUCGUGGACGGUGAAGCUCAGGAGCCGUGGACUUUUUUUUUCGCUGCUUGACACCCAAUUGCUAGAGAAGCUCGUUUGCAUUUAAGAGAUGUUUGUGUGUUUGAGCUCAUUGAUAGGGGGGAUGUGUGUUUAGAGUCUACAUUUCCACUAGUACUGGUAAGGACUUGGUUUACGUUGACAGAAAUGAAUUUUGGAAGUGUCACUUUAGAUAGUCCAAAAUAAAUUCAGUAUUCAUAGUUAUAUCUCUUUGUUUAGUCUUGGUGAAUCAAUGAAGUGUACGUCUUCCAUUCCCAUUGGGUUUGUGAGUUUCACAAUAAUCCAGAUGCACACUCAUUAAUGCUACAUCCCAAGUCUAAAUUAACCAAAAAGAAUGUGCUUCAAUGUCAAAGCGAAAAUUAUAACCUAAACGCUUAGCAUGAGAAUUUAGAGGUGUGACUUGUUGGUUUCUAAGUUGCGCUUUUCUGCACAGUGUUGCAUUCUUUUUCUUGGUCUGUCUCAAAAGUUAUGAAAUUUUCCUGAUAAGAUUUUGUAUAUUGAUGGGUGACAUUACAAUUUAGGAGAUGCCAAGUGUAGCUAAUGUGUUUUGUCUAACGUGAAAAACAUGUAAACGUUAGUAACAUGAUUGGAUGCAUUGAUUUGUAGAUCGUUGUAACUUGACAGAAGAUUUACAGCAGUACCUAUGAAAACUCUCCUUUUUCUUUUGGACCAAACAAUCUAAAUGUCAAGUGAGCCCCCAUGAGCAGUUUUGCAUGGUUCCAUGUUUCUGUGGCCUCCCCUGCUCUUGAAAAAACUAGAAAAUUUGAAUCGAAGUAUCCAUCUCUGAAAUUGGUGAUGCGGCCACUAUUAUCAAGGAUAGAACUGUGGUGUGGCCCCUAUGUCCUUUCAUAAUUGGCAUAGCUCAACCAUGAUGCCUUCUACAUCUUUCCCUUUAGUUGACUCUUUUCCCAAGUCGUUUUAAAUUUUUCAUAGGAAUCACAUUAGAUGUUAUUUUCUUUGGAGUGUUCAUGGCUUUAUCUGUAAAACCGGGGCAGUUUUGAUUUUGAAAUUUUAUUUUUUAAAUUUAUGGAUUCAUAAGAUGACCAAUUCUAAAAUGAAAGAUUCUAUUCUCGUUUUUUUUUUCCAGUAAUCAGUUGUAAAGAAGAUUACAUUAUAUAUAGACUAAGAGGAUGUGGUGGGGACGAUCAGUGUUAGCAACUCUUGAACUUUUGUCAUGAGAGUUAAAAAAUUAUGUACACUACUGUAGAGUCUACAAGCACUGUAUUGUGAAAUCUUAACUUCAAGUUGCAGGUUGGGAUUGAAGACUUCUAUUACCCAGUUAACACUAUUAAUUGAACUCCCUGAAACUAGUAAAUACUAGCAUAAAUUUACAUUUGUUUGCGUUUUCCAUUUAUUAUUUCUUUGUAUUUAUUCUUUUCCUCAUUAUACUACAUUGGUAGUGUUCCUUGUGAAUUCAUAAAGAAACAUUCAGAAGAACUAGCAAAUUGCAACUCUUAGGUAUUUGAACAAAUUAUGGCUGGUGCAGCUCGAGACCUAUCAACUCCAUUAUGUAGCUGGUCGGGCCGCAUUUGUGAAAGAAGCUUGUCUGGAUGAAGGGGAUGUCCGCAUGUUUGAGCUCAUUGAUAGGGACGAUUUUAUGGUCAAUCUCCAUCUCCAAUUAUGCUAGUAAGGACCUCAUUUAGGUUGAUUGAGAUGGACAUUGGAAGUGUCGCCUGCAAGCUAUGACAAAUCAAUUGGAAGUGCACUUACUUUUAGCUUUGCGUCUCUUUCUUGACCUGCUUACAGUCUUACCAGAAUUCUCCUCUUUUUUUUUUCUUUGUGCAGGUCAGAACAGAUAGUCUAAAUGUCCAGUGAGCCCUCUUGAGCAGCCUUUUCAUGGUUUCAAUUGUCCGAGGCCUCUCACUGCCCUUUAGAAUGCUGGAGAAUUCAAGUUAGAGUAUCCCUUUUUCCAGAUGGUGACAUGGCCAUCUUUUCUUAAGAAAGAAAUAAUGGUGAGGCCCAGAUCUCCAUUCAUAACUGGCAUAUCUCAAUUAUGAAUGCCACCUAUUUUAUAUAUGUGCCCUAUUGUGCAAUUUUUUCCUGCAUUAAUUUGCUUUCUAUAGAAACACAGGAUAUAUUAUCUUCCUUGAAGUGGUCAUGGUUAUAUGUUUAAAACAGGCUCCUUAACAACUAAAGGGACUAGGGAAAAACAAUAAGUCAGACAGUAAUCAGGAAAUUACCUAGUGAUAGGUGGGUGUGGAGACAAGGUCAGAGGGUUGAGACAGGCAAUAACAACCAUAAAUUAGGAAUUUAAUGAUUUCUAAUUGAAGUAUAAAUUCUUCCCAAAGAUUACUACUUGGCACUUUCUCUGUCUUCUAGUUUAAGUAUAAAUUCCUUCCAAAAAUGACUACUUGGUACUUUCUUUGGCUGCCUAGGCUUGGGAAGAAGAGGCGACACGAAAUGUCCAGCUUAAGCAAUAGCUAUUGCAACAGGCCUAGGCUUGGCAUGACUAGGCUCACUGCAACAGCACGGCAACACUAAUCGGGAUAUUGCUUCCUGGCAACAAAUGGUUUACAAGAGCUACUAUUGCAAGCAAGUUCAAACUUGCGAUCAGAAAUGAAGUGAAGGUAGUGUGACCCUAGACCUCGAAAAUGAGUCCCACCACCUCCGUAGUAUGAAAAAAAGAAAGGCAGCUAAUUUUUUUUUUUGCCAGGCGAAUGAAGAUCACUUUUUGUGUAUAUGUAUCCAUCUAGGAUGCUAGGCGUAGCUUUUCAUGUUUGUUCAAUGCGUAUCGCAAUGUGAGAUUGGUGACUUGGAAAUCCACCAGAUUUGUGCAUGUCUCUAUAUUGAUCACACAUACUUAGCGUAGAGUCUAAGAGCACAGGAUUGUGAUAUUUUGAUUUCAGAUUGCAAGUUGUGACUAAAGACCAUCUCAUCAAGCCUUUUAGACUGCUAAUACGGAUCUCCAGAAAUUCCAAAUACUAUCAUAAAUGUACAUCUUGUUUGCCUUUUCACUUUAGUGUAUGCUUACAUUUCUUUGUCUUAUCAUACAUUGGCUGGUCAAAUGUCUUCAUGGGCAGAGCGUUCCUUAUAAAUUUAUAGAGACAUGCAGUCAAGAAAACCAGCAAAUUGCUAUUCUUAGGUAUUCAGACACAUUGUGGCUGGUGACCAUCAGGAGCUAUCAGCGCUACGCUGCAGUGAACUUCUCUAUUGGUUGGUCCAAGUUUGUGAGAGAAACUUAGUCUUGAAUGAAGGGCAUAUCUGCAUGUUUGAGCUCCUUGAUAGGGAUGAUUUUUAGGUUGAAUUGGGACGUGAACACUGGAAGUGUCACUUUAGGCCAUAUACUAGUUAGAAGCGAUCUAUGCCUCUUUUCUGUUGUGAUGAACCGGAUAAAAGUCCCUUUUAUUUCUGACUGCUUUUUUCUGAACUAGUUACAAUCUUAUAAUUUCUAGGCCUAGCCACUCCAUUUAUCGGAUAUUGUGAUGAAUAGCCUUGCACACAUUUUUUACUUUGGGUAUUUCUCUUGCGCUUGUAACGCUUUUAUCAUUGCCUUCUUGGAAAGGACCUUAGUUCAGCAUUAUCGUGGUUCUGGUUAUUCGACCUGGUUUCGUAGAACAAAUGAAAUUUAUGCAGUAUGCCAUCAGUCAUGGUCGCUUGAUAGUUUUCAAAAAUGGGAGAGAUAGACUCUAUACUCAUGUAAUUAUAUUUGAUUAAAGUGCUUAUAUAGAUACAUUAUCCCCUCAAGCAGGAUGAAAUAUAAAACCCAGAGGGCGAAUUCCUCUCGAGAAAAUGGGAAGAAUCUAAAGACCUCACAGUCCUUGAAGAUUCAGAGGGUUCCUGGCCAUGUUGGAAGCCAUUGGCUAAACUGCAUUUACCUUCUUAUCUGCCUUCUACGGUGAUGAAUUCGUUUUCAAUUUGUGAGUUUCAAAGUGAUUAAAUUGCACACUCAUUCUUUACCAAAAAAAAAAAAAAAUUGCACACUCAUUGAUGCGAGUUUUCAAAAUAAUAUGCUUGGAACCAAAAAGGACUAAGUUUCGAACGUCAAAGAGUGACAGAAGUUCCAAAUUGUUCCUCAAGAUUUGGAGGAGCGAGCACACGACAUAGUUUUCUUAGUCACUCUUCAAAUUUUUAAAAAUUUGAUGAGAAGCUUUUGGUAUGUUAGUUGAUGGCAUUGAUUUGGGUGUUCGAAGUUGUAGUCAAUCAGUUUUAUCUAAUACGAAGAGCGUGCAAACUUCUGUUUUAUGUUCACAUUCGUUGAUUUCCAAACUAUGCUGGAUCUUUUCAUAGUAAAUCGAAAAAAUUCACAUAUGUGCCCAUGAGAGUUCUUUUUUUAACCGGAGGUCAGACCAAACAGCCUAAAUGCCCAGUGAACCCUGUUGAGCCGGUUUUUCAGUGUUUUACUUGUCCAAGGCCUCUCACUGCACUUGAAAAAGCUUAGAGAAUUUGAGUCAGAAUAUCCCUUUUUCAAAAUGGUGAUAUGGCAAUUUCUUGUCAUGAAAGGAAAAGAACUGUACAUUCCUCAUCUCCAUUCAUCAUUGGCAUACUUCAAAUAUGAGACAACGUGACAUGUUAUUUUCGUUGAAGUGUUUGGGGCCAACCGACCAUCCUAAUGGCCGAGUAAUGGAACUUGGUAAAAUGGCAAUCAAAAUGGUAAUUGUGAUACAACCUUCAUGGUUGUGUGUGUCGAUUCAGAUUAUUAACUAGUUCGUCUACCUUGAAACAAUCUACUUCUCUAGUUGCUCCAUCAAGUUGUCUUUUGCUCCCUUUUUACAAGUGGAAAUCAAGAUGUGGAUUUUUUUAAAUAAUAUUUCAAUAUUUUUUGAAUUUUUUUUAUAAUUUUGUUAUUUUCUUUUCUUCUUUUUUUCUUGCCCUUAGGGUCGGCCUGGAUGUAGGCGCGCAGCACCUCACCCAGACCAAGUGAGGGCUGGUGAGGGUGUGCAAGGAAAAAAAAGCAACUAAAAGAACCAAAAGAAAAAGAAGAUAAAAAAUUCAAAAAAAUUAAAAUAUUAUAAAAUGUCCACAUCACUUUCAGCAGUGUCAUGUCAGCGCCAGCUGAUCAAUAUUAGUAGAAUGGACUUAACUGGCACAAAUGCGAAAAGUUUAGAAUUGUAUUGACAAAAAAAAGAAAGAUUCAAUUAGCACAAUUAUAAUAAGUUUAUGAGUUUUUUGAUAAUUCUCCCGACAUUGUUUUCUUAUUAGUGAAUUUUUUCUCGCAAUUCAAGGUACAAAACGGCAUUGUUCUUCAGAAAAGCUUGAAAACGUAUAUAUAUUAAAAUAAUUUUGUGAGAACGAAAUAUCUUUUUUAUCAAGGAAUAGAAAAGGAAAAGGAAAGAAAAGCAAACAAGAAAAUAAAAAUAAGAAAAAUUACUCUUUGCCAUGCCAACCCUAACCUAAAGGUAACAAACUGUCAACACGAUACAACUUUUAUUUAUAUCACAAGAUUUUAUAUGCUCUUCGUCCAUUUAUUACUUGUCAACUUUUCCGGACUUGAUACAUCAUGACCCUUUUCCUCUUUCUUUCUUGAUUCAACAAUAGGGGAAGAAAAAAACACAUUGGACCCUUUUCUGCAAAGAUGGACUCGCGGUCUUGUCCAAAUAUGAACUAAUCGAUUAAUUGCUCAUUGAAUUCAUGUUGCUCGCAUCUAAUUCUAUAGUCAAAAAACUGAAGCUAUGCUUCGGCAUUGAGCGUGCACAACUCUUUAAUUUGACCACAAGCGAAAUCCAUGCAAGUAGUACGGUCCGACUACCCCAGCACGGUAGCACACUUUCCACGGCCGAAGCAUCUGGCGUUGCUGUAAGAGGCACUGGUGCAUUAGUUGAAUCCCCCGAUCGCGGUGUCAAACCUAAGAUCGGUCAAGACUUGACCCGAAGCUUGUGCAUAAUCGUUCGGGUAUUGCAUGCCGUUGCAUAUCUUGCAUAACUUGUACAUAAGCAUCACAUCCAGGUCACUUCUUACAAGUCAGACCCCCACAGAAGCCCCAUGAACAUAAGUGUGAGUGUAAUGAGGUGGACAAGGUCAUCCUAGAGCCCGUUUCCUCCCGUUUGGUUCUCUUUGGUUUGCCACGAGGAAACACACAACACACAAUUGAGUUUGGCUAUAAAAAGGGUUUGUCUCCAUAGUGCUAUCCAUCAUUUAUUCUUUGUUAUUAGGCUAAGCCAUUACCAAGUUUAGUCAUUUAUGACGUCACAUGGAUUUUAAUUGAUAAAUUUCAGAGCUUUUUCUAUGAAUUAUUUGUUCUUUAGUGUAAUAUGUCGUUGCCGUCCUUGCAAACCCUAAUCUCAUAAUUUUUAAUGAAAUUUCCCCCCUCUCUCUUACUAUGCAUGAAAAAUUUAAAAUUGGGAUCCUUUUAAGUCUACGAAAUAAAUUCACAUUAUGAUAAAUGACUCACUUCUUCUUUGUCUGUCCUCUUUCUCCUCUUAUUUUGCAUAGACUUGUCAGCCUCAUGUACUAGUCUUGAAUAUAUUUCUAUAUGUGACAUUGUAAAUUUUAGGUCAUGUAAUUAAUGGAGUUCAUGAAUUUUUUUUUUUUUGAACAGAGAGUUCAUGAUAGUUAUAUAACCCAAAUAACACAAUACUUCUACUACUGCUAAUACUACUACUAGGAGUGUAUUAAAAAAAGAAAAAAGAAAAAAAAAGUCCGAAAACCCGGAUCGAAUCAUCCAAAUUGGCCUGAUAAAUUUGGGCUCAAAUAGUCUUGGGCCGGCCCACUGGCCUCAAACUAUCCUUGAGUUUGGGACUUGAAUGAUUGCCAAACUAGCCCAAUUCAUAGAUCAGAAACUGUACAUAUAUAUGGCCCCUAUGUCAAUUCCCAUUCCUGCUGGUUGAGUGCUUGACUUCUCUCGUUCUCCCAUCUCCCACGCUGGUUGAGAUCCGGUCACUGUUGAGCUGCCAUUGCCACCACCGUCAAGCCCCAUUUUUGUGGCCAUCAAUCCCCACACUCACCAUAUGCCCUCCGUCCAAGACAUCUCGCUCACUCCGUCAGUCCCUCUUCUGCUUGCUCACGUCUUAGUCUUCCUUACGCUCCCUCACUCUCUACCAGUAGAAAACAAGUACUUACCAGUUACUAGCUUGUUUUGAUGUCUUAAGGUUUUUUUUUUUUUUAAUUUUCGUACAUGCUAUUUGAAUUUUUUAUUUUAAAUUUUAAAAUGAUAGUUAGUCUCUCUUUAAAAAGAUGCAAUUAUCUCACGAUAAACUCUAAACUGGUACACAUGUGAUAAAUUUACAUUCUAUUAAAUUUUAUUAUCAAAUUAUUAAGUUAGAUGACACAUGCUAAUUGAUGGAGAUACCAAUUUGGGGUUUUCUCCUCCAUUUGUUACAAUCGUACUAGUUUGUGAUUUUUUGUAGUAUUAAUCCAUUUUAACGAAAACCAACAAAUAUUAAAUUAUCACAAAUGUAUCAGUUUAUGAUUUUUAAUAGUCAAAAUAUUAAUUUGCGGUAAAUGUGUGAUGUACCAAUUUGGGGUUUUGGUUAGUCAAAAAAUUAACUUGAGAUAAAUUUAUCGCGUGUAUACCAAUUUUAGAUUUUUUGUGACAUUAAUUCUUUAUUAUUAUUUUUUUGUUUAACAGUUUAUUAGUUACAUUUAGAUAGUAGAUGGUAGUGGAAAGUGGCCGUUAAUGACGAUUGGCACUUUUUAAGUGCUAAAUGACGAAAAUCGCCUCUGAAUUCGUCUAAAAUCUAACCCGAGCUAUCAUCAUAAUUUGGUUUUUAAGGCAAUCUAGAUCGAGAUAUCAAAAGAGGAACCUCUCCCUUAAAGAAUCUACAAACGUGGUAAUGCUAUUUUAUAAACCAUAUUCUCUAAUAUCUUUAUGUUCAAAUGAAAAUUUACGUAGAAUAAUAAUCGAGUUGGGAGAAUCAUUACCUACACCCAGUGCAAACUCUAUUCCUCUCACAGCAAGCAUGUAUGAAGGCCUAAUAAGAGUGAAAGUCAAAUUAUUCGUAAGUUGUUCGAGCUUGGGUUGAUGAUCAUUUGAGAAGUAAUAUUUAGUCGAGCUCUAACUCGAGCUACUUGAGUAUCUUGCAGAUUGAAAGCUCGAGCUCAUCAACACUCAGCUCAAUAAACUUUGUAAGCCUGAUUAAAAAAAGCAAUUGUUAAUAAAAUUAAAUAUUAACAUCCUCAUCUGCGCACAUGUAAUAUAUAGUAUAUCAUCUUUUUGUUUGAAUCAAGCUCCAGCAUUAAACUAAUGUUUGGGUGAGCUCAAAUCUUGUUUUAAACAUCGAGUAUGAAGUUGAGUGGAUCUCGAGUUUGGCAUUGUAGUGGCUCGGGUGGCUCAAUCAGAGAUCCCUAGGCCCCAGCCGUGUUGACAUCCAAUUCGAUUAAUAAGAGUCUAUGUGUCCAUUGAAGCAAUUAAGAAUUCUGACGUGCAAAAUUAUCAAGAAAUCUCAUUGCUCAAGAUUGGGUUGUGAUCUUCGUCACGCAAGUUUUAAAUCCCCUAUAAUUUUCAAUCCCUAUAUUAACCAAUAGCUUAGAUGAUAAAAGUAAGUGAACAUUAAUAAAUGUAGGAAAUCUUCAAAAGUCACCUUUCCUAGGUCCUAGCUGUAAUCUCGUGGGGGACGUAGCUUGGCUUAAAAAAUCCUUGCUGCAACUUUUCUCCGACAAAAUGGCACUCCAGUUCUCUCUCCUCAGUUCUAUGUAUUUGUUUGUUUACUGAAAAGAGGGCUUUUGCGGCAAUUUUUGUCUCAAUAUAAUUUAAUUUCGGAUAACCAUUUGACAAUUGAAAAAAUCCCUCGGCCGAUAAGAAAUCUUUAAUUUCAAAUGUCCGCCUUUGCGUUUUUCAUAUAUUAACUUGGAGUGUACAUAGAGAGAUCCUUGAUAAUUUCAACUUUUUGAAUUAAUUGGUAAAUCACUAAGCUCCGUCAUGCUAGUCUCUCUCAACAAGUACUUCUUAUUAUUAAAAAAAAAAAGAUCCAUUUUUAUUUCUCACAACUUCAAAUCUUAAAAAAUAAUUUUUUUAAUUUUCCUAGGUCUUUAAUUGAAAAAUUAACCCAAUUUCAUUCCGAUUAUCAUUAUAUAUCAUCAACAUAAACUAAACAAUCACGAUAAAUGAAUGUCCUCUCCUUGAAGUAAAUAGGGAAUAAUUAAAAAAAUCAACAAUUGUUAACAUCUGAGAAAUUAAAAAGGGAAGAAGAUCCGUCAGGUUUUCCAGUUCCUGCGUUUCUAGCAUUCGGUCACUCUCUGCUUCCUCUCUCUCUCUCUCUCUCUCUCUCCCUCCAACCCUCGAGCCGAGCUGCACCGCCUGAUAGGGGGCCUUCGACCGCUGCCGCCGCAUCUACGCCGCCGGGCCACCUCGGCGUUCGGCAGCAGCGCCGCCCCUCUCUCCGCCUCCUCCGAACACCCCCCCGCCCAAAAAAAAAAAAAAAAAAACCUAGUUUCCUGGCUUCGGUUCUCCGAGAUUGCUCGAAGAUGGACGAGGACCAGGAGAUGGAGAGGUUUGGGAUGGACAGCGAUUACGACGAUGGGCAGUGGAUCGACGGGGAGUUCUACUACCGGCGGCGGAGGGAGAAGCGCGCCCAGACCAAGGGCGACGUGCUCUACGGCGUCUUCACGUCGGGGGACUCCGAUUCGGACUACGACGACUCCUCUAAGAGGAAGCGGAGGAAGAACAGGGACCUCCUAUGUAAGGCCGAUCUGUCGAAGCCCGUGUAUUUCGUGUCCACCAGCACGAUCAUGCCGAACAGAGAGAUUGACGAGAACUCGAAGACAGAGAAUGAGGAUGACGAGUCCGCUGACGUGGAUGAGGAUAGGCCGGGCAUGGGGGUUGGUGCUGGGGUGGGUCUGGGGUUUAAGAAGCGAGACGAUGGUUUCGAUGAGAACGGCGAGGAGGAGGAUGGUUUCUUGCCGACGGCAUUUGGGCGGAAGAUCAAGGAGGGAGCGGAGAGGAGGAGAGAGCAAUCGAAAUUGGAGAAUAAAGCGCAACAAGGUGGGGCUAAGAGGGAUUCUUAUGAAUCGGGGAACGUGGGCGGCUUCGAGAAGUACACCAAGGGAAUUGGAACGAGGUUGCUCGAGAAAAUGGGUUACAAAGGGGGUGGUCUUGGGAAGAACCAGCAGGGGAUUGUGACACCCAUUGAAGCAAAGUUGCGUCCUAAGAACAUAGGUAUGGAUUUCAACGACUUACAAGGCAACUCCUGCAGAGGCACCUGUUGCCUCGUUGGAGCCAGAGGAAAAGAAGCCAUCACCUAAUGUGCCCGGUCAGGAGAAGCUUUGGUCUAAGCAAGCGACGCAGAAAAACAAAGCGAAAUAUAUUACAGUAGAAGAGCUGUUGGCGAAGAAGUAGGAUCAGGGCGUUGAAGUUGUGCAAAAGGUACUCGACAUGCGUGGACCUCAGGUUAGGGUAUUAGCAAACUUGGAGAAUCUGAAUGCGGAAGAGAAGGCGAGGGAGAGUGAUGUUCCUAUGUCUGAGCUCCAGCACAAUAUAAGGUUGACUCUGGACCUGGCUGAGUUGGAUAUUCAGAAGAUCGAUAGGGACCUUAGGAAUGAGAAGGAGAAGGAGAAGUUGCAAGCUGAGGCAAAACUCUAGAAGAAACAACUGAUUAACGUGAAGGAGACAAUGAAUACGCUAGGCCGGGUUGAGGAGGAAAAGUCAAUGGGACGUGCGAAGAAGGCUUCCUGAUGAUUAUAAACUUCGUAACUUAUCCUGCAUUGCUUGCUUAUUUGCACUCCCUCUUUGGAAUUCCACACAUGGGUUGGAAGUUGUUUCACGGUGGAAAUCUCUAUUGCAAGGACAGGAAUGUCUUGAUAUAUGGGAUUUGGGAUCCCCUUAUACCUAGUUAGUUUCAGAAGUUGUCUUGCCUGCUGUGUGAAUAUCAGGCAUUUGAAACUUGGGAGGCAAGGAAUCCGGAGCCAAUGCUUCGAUUUUUUGAAGAUUUAGUGAUUAGUCUUCUCGCAUGUGGGCGCAAAUUCAAGUUUGUCAAUUUCUUCUCAAGUGAAGGGCAUUUGGAAUUCAUUUAUUUAUUUAUUUUCUUCAUAUUAACUGAAUGUUGAUAUGCAUAACAAAAGCAAGUAUACGGGCAUCUUUGCGUCGCUGCGGCACGACUCUUCUUCAGCCUCUCUCUGUCGACAAACACAGCACCUGAGCCUCCGGCAGUGGCUUUUCGUCUUAGAAUCGGCAACAUCCCGGCGCUCUUGAACUCGAACUUGCUCUCCACGCUGGAUGAAGCUCGCUAAUUCUCUCUUUUUAUCUCUCUUCCUUGCGAGAGCUCGAUACCUCAUCCAAAGUGCAAUCAACGGUAAUGGAAAUUUGGAAGAUGGCGAGAGGAUGGGAGAAAAUAAAAGCAAAACGGAAAUCAAACAGACGAAAUUUGGAAUGAAUUGAAGACAAUUCUAGAGUUCAAUCGGAGAUGGAACGUCCCAGUAAUUGUUUUGACUGUUGAUUGAAGAAACUCCGUGGUCAAAUUCCGCUGCCACGGCAGCAAGGCGAGCGGCAUCUUCAAACCGGUAGCAACGCUUUUUGUGCUUCGAUCGGUGCUGGAAGCAACAAUCGUCAGAGAGCUCAGUCUUGAUGAAUAGUUGGUGGGUACUCCAUUCGCGGUUGGAUUCUCUCUCUCCAGAUUUUCUCCGACCAGAUGUUUUUUAGCAUCUAUUCUCUCUCUCGCUCCGGAUUCUCCUUAUUCAUCUCCACCAAUUCAGAUCUAUCUCGCGUCAGAUUCCCACAGUGAACGACACCAUCAGAUUCCAAAUUUUGAGUCGUGGCCACACUAAUUCCACUCUGAUUCUUGUCGUCGCUUUCCUGUCCUUGCACAUGUCUGGACCAGAUCUAUAUGUGGCCGGGCCAUCUCGAGCUCAUGCUGCCAUCGCCGCCAAACCAUCAUCAAGGGUGUUUCAUAUCCAAUUGAACUUCCGAGUCAAAAUUUCGAUUCACUCCAGAAAAUGUUCUGUCGAUUCUUGCUUCUUUCUGUUCGCUCCCACUUCAUGGCCAUCUUUCGAAUUCCUUUGUUUUGCCCAUUUAUGCCUUGCGCAAAGGGAAAGCGGGGUGUGUUCACUGCUUAAAAGAGCUUUAUCUGAUUGCCAAGGGUGAGGUUGGAUGGAUCAUCAUCAUCUGGACAGGAUCCGCCGAUUCAAAGGAUGAGAUUCUUUGGGUUCACUCUCGGCACUCCUGCCGGUCCGACAUAGUUUCAUCAACCAACCGCAACGGAGGGCAAUCUGAGUCAUCAAAAUCAUCCGAAAAGAUACGCCAAGCAUGAAGAUUGGCGGUGGUGAGCACGGAGAGAAAACAAGGAAGAAUAAAAGUCGCGAAGCAGUGGAUGGAGAUGAUUCGAAUUUUGCGUGGGGACUGGGGAAAACGGGGCAAACAAGGUGAAACCGGCGGUGGUUCUUUGGAUGAGAAGGAAGUAAAGUGUUGAAAUUUUUUUUAAAAAAAGAAAUAAAAGAAAAAGAAAUAAAAGACGAAAGGAAAAUAUAGAGAGCCCAUGAGAAAUCGGUCAAAAGGAAGACUUGCACGAAAAAUGUAAUCCGUCAUUAUAUUGAGCACCUUCAUUGCAAACUCGAUCCCUCCUCCACAGUGCAAUCGACGGCAAUGGGAAUUCGGCGAGAUAAUUGGAGAAAAAUGAAAUGAAAUAGAUAUCAAUAGACGUAGUCAAUAUGUAUCAAAAUUAAUUCUAGAGUCGAAUGGGAUAUGAAAUGACCUGGUGGUGAGUACCAAUAUUGACCUGACAGAUAUCAUCAUUGUUACAGAAUGGUCUCAAUCUCGAUUUCUCUUUGGGGCAACUCAACGAACACCUUCCCUAAUGUCCAUCUUCAUUUUUCAGCAAGUCUUCCUCCAUCAGGGUCGUUUCCUAUCCGAAUGAACUUCCGAGUCCAAUUUCGAUUCAUUCCAGUAUACGUUCUAUCGAUUCUUGCUUUCCUUCAUCUCCGCCUUUCGGAUUUCAAAUGCCGUUGCUCGCGUCCUUCGUUUCGUCUCUCUAUGCCGCACACAAUGGGGAUGUCUGGCUGGUGGAUAGGAUCUGCCGAUUCGAAGGAUGAGAUUCUUUGGGUUCACUCUCGGCCCUCCCGCCGCUUCAAGAAGCAGCAAGGACUUGCACAAAAGAUGGAAUAUCUUGAGAGCAAGAUUCAUCCCUAACUCAACCAUCAUUUUCUUUUUCUUUUCCUUGAAAAAGGCCAUCAAAAACUCCAAACGACGCCAUCAAGGACGCCCAUUGCGUCUCUUCGCUUCAAGUGCCUUUAUUGGAUCUCUCCCUCCAUCCCGACGCGCUCCCCGGCUCAGUGAGUUCCGAGUCGCUCCACCAUCACCCUCGCUAUCAACUCGCCUCGUGAUCGAUUCCGUCGCUCGCUGUCUUUAGAAACUCCGGUGAUCCUCUCUCUCUCUCUCUCUCUCUCUCUCUCUCUCUCUUUUCCUGUCCUUCUUCCGGUUCGAAUCAUGCAUUCGUUUUGUGGAUUCUUAGGUGUUUUGACGGAGGUUUGAAUCUGGUGUCCUUGAGUGAUGUUUAAUGCUAUUGUCGUUUUGCUCAUCGAUGGAGUUCAUGUCGGAUUUUUUUUCUUUUUUCCUUGUUUCGAACCGUGAAUCCGAGACCACUUGGAAACGAGCGAUGAUUGAACUGAAAACGUCCUGAGAAAUCGCCGCAGUGAGCGAAAGUUGUGCAGAGUUAAGCUCGGUCGAACAGUGGUUCGGUUUUCCUCUAUUUUUUGGCAUUAUAUAGUCACUUCUGGAUUCAGUUGUGGUGCGAGGGUGACUCGCUAGCCAUUCCUGAUCGGUCCUUCGGUUAACGCUUUUCUCUGUAUAGAUUUCUGAGCGGCUUGGGACUUGGAGAUGGGAGUAGCACCGAUGAGUUAUAACAUAAAAGAGGGGACGCUGGAGAUCGGCAUGGGUGAGCUUUCGGCCCUCUCCGCUUUCCAAAUUUUUUUUUUUUUUUUUUUGGAGCUACGGACAAUAAAGAUCUGCUGGGAUGCUUAAAUCUCGUAAUUAAGUUUUGUCUGUAUUGUGGGGAGUAGCUUUCUCUCCUUGUUCGUGGCUUAUUAUGUCUUUCGCCAUCUAAAUUUCACCGUGCUUGGAAUCAGAACUUUAGUCAUGGGAUAUUGUUGUUUUCGAGGCUUUCCAUAUAGCUUUCUCGUUUCUGAAAAGUUUAUGCUGCCCCUGUUAUGACAACGGUUAAUACAUUUAUUACUUAGAUCUACACAAUCUCUAUCAUUUCAUAUAUAUUGGCUGAGAGGUGAGGAAUGAUUUAGCUCUUGUCUGAGUCAAAUGUUUAGCAUGCCUUAGUCGCUGGGUCUUGUUAUUGGUUGUUCAAACAAUUGCUUCGCUACUUGCAGAGUAUAGGACCGUCUCUGGUGUUGCUGGGCCGUUGGUUACACUCGACAAAGUCAAGGUAAAUUUCACCAGUUAUAAUUUUAUGAGGUUCAGUGGACUCCUAUACUAACAUGUUGGAUUAAUUUUAUUGUAUAUCAGGGACCAAAUUAUCAAGAGAUAGUAAAUAUCCGCUUGGGUGAUGGAACAACUAGACGUGGACAAGUCCUUGAAGUUGAUGGAGAGAAAGUUGCUGUGCAGGUUCAGUCUCAGUUGCCAGCCUCUUCUUUUUUCCUUUAGCUCUCUUGAUACUGCAUUUUUGUUGUUUGGACUGCAAUACUUGGGUCAACUUUGUGUGCAAUACUUUUCAGCUGAUGACCCAGUGAAUUCUCUGUCAUUCAUUGCAAGCAUUAGAAAAAGCAGAACAUGAAGAGUAUUAUCUUAGGUAUAUGUGAUGAAAUGUGAGAACAUCAUAUGGGAUGAUAAUUGAAAUGUGAUAGAAUUUCUUGAGAACAAUGUUAAGAGUCUAAUUAGCAUUCCGUUUAGGCAAUUAUAGAUCCUCUUUGCUCUCGAGUGAUGGAAGUCUAGUCAUGGUGUGGGUUAUUUUGGCUCUGCAAAAGGCUAAUAAUCUUUCCUAUAUGUCUCUAAUUGUUGUCAAACUUCCGUAGGUUCUGUUAUUCACUAGUUUCUUUGUCAGUAAAAUUUAAAUAUAAGUAUUCUACUCAUGCUUGUGUGAUCGGUGGUUGUUCAUCUUAGACUUCCAGUACGUAAAGCUUUCUGGUCAUCCAUGUUUCACUCUCUUGUCGCUAGGUUUAUGAAGGUACUUCUGGGAUUGAAAACAAAUACACCAUUGUGCAAUUCAUUGGUGAGGUAAUUAUGCAUGCUGUUUGUUUUUGUUUUCCUAAUAAAACAAUGUUUCAUCAUUCUGUAGAAAGAAAGAGUUAGAUUUGUUUUUUUCCGUAUUUGGGAACUAAAUGCUCCUACAUGUUGGCAACAAGAUUUCACUUGUAGCAUGAGAAAUAAUUUGGCAUAUGUCUUGGGCUUGGCCUCAUGAAAGGCUGUCAAAAGUGCAUUGUUUUCCUACCUUUACAAAUCUUUUUAGCUGUGUCAGCAUUUACUCUCUUUAAUCUUGGAUAAAUAAAAAAACCUUUAGAAAUUUAUUGUGGAGUUCUCACAUUUUUCUUUUAAUGCAGGUUCUAGAAAGCCCAUUGAUAAUGGCUCUCCAAUUCUGCCAGAGGCUUACCUGGAUAUUUCUGGUGAGUUGUGUCAUUGUGAUAGUAAUUUUGAUUGGCCAUGGAGCCAUUUAUACUUCAUGGCACCUAUGGCAAUCCCAAGAUCCCAGUGAAAGAACCUUCCUGGAAGAGAUGAUACAAACAGGAAUUUCCUCCAUUGAUGUAACGAAUUCCAUAGCUCGUGGACAAAAGAUCCCACCUUUCUUUGCUGCUGGUCUUCCUCAUAACAAAAUAGCUACUCAGAUUUCCGCCAGGCUAGUCUUGUGAAGCGAUUGGAGAAGGCUGAUGGUAUUACCAAGAUAUAUGUUGCAUCUUUGUUGUAUACCAAUGUUAUAAUACCCUGCUCUAUGAGUUUUAUUGCCUCGAUAAUUUAAGGAACUACCAUUAGUUUUACAGAAUUUUCCUACGGUUUUGGAGUUCAGGUUCAGAAUUCACCUACAAUGUAUUUUAUCCUUUGACUAACUAGCUCCACUAUUAUAUGCUAGACUUCUCAAUUGCUAAAUGCAUUCUUUGUGAAGAUUUUUGAUCUUAUUUUAUUUGUUGUUUUUUUGAGAAUUCGAUGUUAUGAGCCUUCAUCUUUCUAUUCCAAACACUCUCUUUCAAUAUCAUUUAUGAAAAUGUGCUGCAAAUUUAUGUAGGAUGACAAAGAGGACAAUUUUGCCAACAAUGUUGCCAUAGUAUUUGCUGCUAUGGGAGUGUACAUGGAAACUGCACAAUAUCUCAAACGUGACUUGGAGGAAAAUGGGUCAAUGGAGAGAGUGGCCCUUUUUCCUUAAUCUGGUAAUAUCUAAUGAGCUAAUAGUUAAUUGUCUCGCAGAUUGUUUCUUUCUGGCAAUUUUUGCAAGUUCGUAGAUUCAGUUCGUGACAUAUAUCCUUGCUGAUUAAAGGGUUGUACGGAUGCCUGUAUUUCAUUUUACGAAGUUUGCUAUUUUCUUUAGGCCAAUGAUCCAACUGUUGAAUGCAUCAUCACUCCACGAGUGGUGGUCACAACUGCUGAGUAUCUGGCUUAAGAAUGUGACACAUCUAUAGUGAUUUUUUUAUUUAUUUAUUGUGAUGUCAGAAUUUCAAAAUUAUAUCCACUAUGGAUGAGGAUAGGCGGGGCUUGGGGGCCUUGGGAAGAACCAGUAGGGGAUUGUGACACCCAUCGAAGCAAAGUUGUGUCCUAAGAAUAUGGGUAUGGGUUUCAACGACUACCAAAGAAACCCCUGCAAAGGCGCCUGCUGCCUCGUUGGAGCCAGAGGAAAAGAAGCCAUCACCUGAUGUGCCUGGUAAGGAGGAGCUUUUGUCUAAGCAAGCGAACAAGACGAUGCUGAAAAACAAAGCGAAACACAUUACAGCAGAAGAGCUGUUGGCGAAGAAGCAGGAACAGGGUGUUGAAGUUGUGCAAAACGUACACAACAUGCGUGGACCUCAGGUUAGGGUAUUAGCAAGCCUGGAGAAUCUGAACGUGGAAGAGAAGGUGAGGGAGAGUGAUAUUCCUAUGUGCGAGCUCCAGCACAAUAUAAGGUCGAUUGUGGACCUAGUUGAGUUGGAUAUUCAGAAGAUCGAUAGGGACCUGAGGAAUGAGAAGGAGAAAGCUCUGAGCUUGCAAGAGGAAAACAGAAGCUACAAGCUGAGGCAGAACUCCAGAAGAAACAAAUGAAUAAUCUAGCAACUAAAUUGUGCACAUGGAACAGCGGAAGCACAAUCACGGUAGAGUCUGAUUCCGUUAGUUUGUACCCCACCUUAUGAUGCCAAAUUGCGCUGAGUUAGCAGCAUGUGAUUGGGGAGGGGUGGCCCAUAGCGCUGGAGGUGUGCAAGAACAUAGCUACAUCCGAGGGAUCGUUGACAACUGUGGACAUCGAGUCGAGGCUCGGCUCGGCUCUACGUCGGUCGAAGAGAGAGUGAUUUGGUAGAGUGAAGAUUGGCGGUUAGGUGGGGGAUGUUGAGCUUGGAAGCAGCGGAUUGAGCCCGUCGGUUUCCUUCUUGCAGUGUCAAUAGGAGCUUCGGUUCUGAGUCGGAAAGGUAGAACUUGAGCACCUUAGCUGUGUAGAAGGGAUUGAGCGGAGCUGCGGUGGCUCAGCAAUGGAUUACCGCUGGAAACAGGAUCACAAACUGCAAAACGAACACAUUUUCCAAUAAGAAAACUAUCACACCAGUCCCUGCGGAUUGGAGAUACACAUACAUAUGCAGGAUAUGCAGACAACUAGUUUGUCAACAUUUAAUUUCAUUAAAACCAUCCAUCUCCUUUUGAUAAGCGUUGACUUUGUUUUACGAUGAAUCGGUGCUUGUACAUCCCAGAAAACAACCCUUGGACCCGACAGAAAAUUCUCUUCAUGCUUUUCCCAUUUCAAUUUGUUCCUGUUCAAUUUGCACCACGCGCUCGCAGAAAUUUCAUGCCUCAGAUGCAAUUUUUUUCAGUAGAAAUCGAUGCCAUUUCCGUCUCUCUGUUCUCGAAGUACUGUAAAACUCCAAGAAACAUCUACCUCUUUCUUUCCCAAGCUAUUUCCCAGUCGAUGUUUCGCAAGUCAUCGAUCUCAUCAUUAGAAAUUCAUCGUCACCGCAAUCUUCCAGAUAUUGUGUUCUCAAAUUUAAACAGCAUCAUCCGUACUUGCGAACAGACCGGGAUGACACAGACAUACCUCGAUGUUGUUGAGGAAAGUAAGCGCGGCGGUGUCGGUGCGAGGCAGUGAUGAGUACGGUGGUGCAAUUGACAAGCUCCUGCAGCCGCAUGUGUGUCAGGUCGAGCUCCUCGCAGGCGGAGACGGCUCUCUUGUUGGGGAAAUCCGAUGUUGCCUUCUUCAAUAGGUCCGUGAGCGUAAGUUCUCCCAUCACUAACCACAGGGAACGAAUCGACGGCAAUCGGCUUCAGCCGAAACCAAUCCCCGAUCAAACUGAAGAGGGGCACCACAAUCGCUUGGCGAGACAAGAAUGAAGGAUCGACAAGAACAGGAAUUCGCACGUAUGCAUAUGAGAUGGAAAUGAGACCAGAGGGAGGAAGGGAAGGAAGUUGAUGCAAUCGAGGUGGCUCCGCGGCCAGUGCGAGCUCGGUUAAGGUGGCGACGGAGACUUAACGGAUCAAAGGCUGUAACUAGUCUCACUAAUGUCUUCGCAAGAAAAUGUUUCAAUAAACUAAUGAUAGCCACGUAAUCAAUACAUUUGUCCAUUCAGUGGACGACAAGUGGCACUAUGGCGGCCCGCUCUAUCAGCAAGUCUGCAAGUCCAUUCUGCACGACAAAAUAAAUGUCGUCCAAGUUUGAGAUAAGAAAUGAAAACCGCAGCAUCAGAAAAGGUCAUCACCAAAGGAUUAAAAUCCAGUCCAAGUUUGGGGCAAUGGCGAUUCUUGCACAGAUUGUAUAUAUGCGAAGAUCAAUGGCGAUUCUGACAGUCCAUUCUUUGCACGCACACACGCAGAUCUCCUGCUCCUUCACAACAAAAUACACAUUCAAAACUCAAUUAUGUUCAUACAGAACACUUUAACUCGAACCAGAGGAAUCAACAAGCCACGAGACAGCAAUUUUCAUGUCAUACGCCGAGCAUACGAGGUGAGAAUACUAACACUAUUUGACAAAUGAGCAUCCUAUUCUGACAAAGUCGGCCAUAAUAAGUAUUCAAAAAGUUGAGAACAAAUCGAAUUUAUGUAAUAUGAUUCUGCGGUUUGAGAAUUGAAUCGAAUUUACAUACUGAUCUAGUUCGAGCAUUUUAUCAAACAAGUAAUGUGCAUUUUAACCAAGGAGCUCAUACGCCAAUGCACAGCAAGGAUUGACUUUCAGAUCAUCACGAAAAUAACAGCACAAGUCCGAGUUGUUAAAUAAAGCUUCAAUCUCAACUGAUUUACUCACAGACAUUAGCUAAAGCUAACCGGCUCUGUUUCGUUCAUGAGCAGCAGAAACAGAGUGCGUGGGAUUUACCUUGAUGAGAGUGAGUUUUUCACUUCGGUCCGUGAUCAGAUCGGAGAAAAGUUACUGGCGCUCUCCACGUCGACGAUUGACCUCUGGCUCGUGCACGUUUGGGCGGCAUGACCAGAAAACAGAGCAGAAGGAGAGGAGGCCUUGCGGCAACGGAACCGGCAAUGGUGGAGCCGCUACGGCAGCGUUUCGACAGUGUCUAAAGGACAAUGGAGAAGGAGAACCGAUGAAGGAUCCUCUAGAAUUCCAAAGAGAGAGAGUUUCUUCGUGAGCUUCGGUGUGUGCGUUCUAUCGUGUCAUCGCUGAGCCUGUGGUGGCCGUCGAUGGUGGUGCGACGGUGGCUGUGGUGAUUGUAGACGGCCGACGGUGGUCUGGGCUUCGCCUUGUGGAUAAGGUCUGGGCUACACGAAUUAAACCAGGCCCAACAAACCGGACCAGGUCCUUUCGAUUAUGAUUUUUUCUUUCUUUCUUUCUUUUCUUUCUUCGUUUGUUAUUUAUUUUUAAUAUUAUUUUUUACUUUUUAUUUAUUUAUAUUUACCCAAAUGCAUGUUCGACUUGUUGGCAAAAAUUCAGGAGUCAAUAGGAGCAAUAUUCCAUCAUUUGGCCUAAGAACAACUUCACACCAAACUCAAUUACAAUUCAUUGUUUGUGCAAUAUUGUGACAUUAUUCCCUUAAAGAUUAGUCCUUGUACUUAACUCUUCCAUCCUUGAGUUGAAUUUGAGCGCUGAUAGCAUGGCUGCACUCGUACUUGAGUUGAUUUCUUGUAGAAUCGAUGCACACAGUACAGUUUGCAUCUCGAAGCGCAUUUUGCACGUUCUGUGCACGCAACACAUCGCGAUGGAAUCAUCAUGCUCCUGUAAUAGUUGUACACAUGACUUGCCAUCUUAAUUUAUCAUCAUAUAGGUGAUGCGUGUACUUUUAAGAUUGCCACUUUAUCUGUGUUCUUAGCACGUAUCUCAGUAUUGAUUUGUGCAAGUGGGUGGCACAUAUUCCGUCCAUGGUCUCCUCUGUUGAAUACUCUUGGCCAAGAGAUUACAAUGUCCUCUUUUGACUAACAUCCUCGUCUGUGCUUUGUCGUAUACGGUUUGUUAGGCAUUUAUACAGGUUAGAUACUUUUUGUGAUCAAGAGCAGUACAUUCCAUCCUAUAACAUCAAUUAUCUUGUGGGAUUGUGACGAACAUCACAUCAGGUCCGUUUUCACGUUCUCGUUCUUUCGCCCUUCGCCCGCCACUUGUAUCCGGCAAACUCAAUAAGAUAGCUCCACCACCCGUCAUUUCUCCGGCCUGCCAGAAUUUCUUCCGAUUUCCGUGUCUUGUUGCGCGCGAAUCAGUUGAAGUCGGAAGACGGUUUCGUAAAAAUCUCCCUUCUCAAUCUUCAUCGUCGUCUUCUUCUUCAGCUAGGGCUUUGUUUUCAAAUUCGUCCCAUGUUCGAGGUUAUCUCAUGUUUUAUUUUUUUGGUUAUGUUUUUCCACUCGCGCUAGUGACUUCAGAUCAUGGUAGGCUACCUUAGAGUGUCAAAAGGAAAAGUUCCGAAACUAGCUGAAAAAGACGAGGAUUGAGAGUGUAUAUAUGGGUCUUUCUUUAUCGAACUGGCUGUUUGAAAAUGCGGAUGAGCAGACCACUCCUUGUGGCUUCAUCAAGAAACAUCUUCAUGACAGCAAAGUAGUUGCCACUCUUCAGGCAUUUAGACAGAUCGCGGCCGGAGAAGUUAAGGAGCUAUGUGCACGUGGCAAUAAUAUCACGUCAAGUGUAGAUGUCUGCGUGUUUUGAGCUCGUCGAUGGAGAUGAUAUCGUGUUCAAAGUCUCAAUUUUCGGCCCUGCUGGUGCGUACCAGAAUUUAUUUGGGCAAAUCAACUGAAUCUUGAUAUGCAUGGCCAAGCAAUUUUCAAUCUAUGCUACAUCUUUUCAUAGUUAGUCAAUUCAAGAAACUUUCACGCCACUGUCUACUAAAUUCCUCAUCAUUUAAUUGGGAGAAAAGGUUAAUCAACUAAAUCUUGACCCUUAUCCCUACCAGUUUUGGAUCUAAGUGCAACUUGGUCUCCUUGUCAUGCAAUCCCCAUCGAUAUUGACGUCCAAGAACCACAUCUGUCGCUAGACGUUAGACGACGUGGGAACGUUAUUGGAGGGGCUUAUGACAUCUCAAAGUUAGAAAUUGGAUGGGAGAGAGGGACUUCAAGAUAAAUAUCCUUGUCCGAAUGAUCAUCACAUUAUACAGUUACUCAAAGUGUUAUUUUCGAGAGUGGGUCGGAUGGUUAAACCAUUGAACGGUACUACGGACAUCCAAUCAACCGAGUUUUAAAAAAGACAGAAAUUGGAGAAAAGGAAGAUAGUUUUAUUAAAUAAAGAGGCAAAGGUUUCGGAAAAUAGCAAAAAGUGGAUAAAAUAGCUAAAGAAGGUCCUACACACGUUCUCUGCCCUAUCGAACGCCAUUGCUCACCUGCUAGCUACAACGGCUACGCGCUUGCACCCUCUCUCUUGGAAAAAUGGGCUCUUGUGGGCACCACAUGCACCCGAGUCCCCAACUAGCCAGGUUGGAAGAGGAAAAAAUAAACAUAAAUGUUUUGAAAAAGCCUUUUUCUUAAAAAUAAUUGAUUAUAUCUCGAAUAGUCAGUCAAAAAAAUGUUUUUAUUACCAAUAACAAUUUAAUCAUUUUCAUUUAUUCAUUUUUGCAAGUGAUAAAAGCAAUUAUUUAUAGAGAAAUAUUUUUCAAAAUGUCAAUUUUUCACGAAACAAAUGAAUCGGUUUUCAUUAUUUUUAUUUAUUUAUUGCCAUCAAGUUCGUCUCACCAUUGACUAAUAAGUCAUAAUCUUACUUGACUCUAUCCUCUGAAACUUGAAAAAAAUACAAUAUUAAUACCCCAAAACUCCGGCAACUUUUUAGAAGCCCACAAACGAUAAUGUUACGAAAGAAAUUGGUAUAGCCUUUUCAUUUCCAGUUUGUUUCAUCUACAACAUUGCGACACCGAAAUCUACUUCCCGAAGUAAAUUGAGAGAUUCACGUGGUCGCAUUGAUGGCAAGCGUGCAGUGUAUCUGAUCCUUUGCGGUUCUUGAACUGCGACAAUUUGGUAUAGUAGAAUGAGGAAUAUUGUCUCUCUAAUAAACAUGAAGAAAAGCAAACCCAAAUAAUAAUCCAUUCAAACCCUAGAGCACCAGAGCAUGUAAUUAACAAAUUGAAUUCGACACGACUGACUAAUUACCCUUGUUGCCAAACGGAAUAACAAUUUAGAGAAUAGCGGUUAAGCUAUACAACAAUAGGUCACCCAUCAAAUUUUAUGAGGGCAAAGAGUGUCAUUGAAUAGCAAAAGCAAUUACUAAUUUACUAUUUCGUAACAAGACGAGCAUGUCCAUAAUCUGCCAAUGAUUGCUUACCCUUUCAAACAAAAUAAGGUAGGAAAAAAGGACGAAGGAGGCGUGAAGCUUUCUAAGGCUAAUACCAAACAUUAGCCUCAGAAAGCUUCACGCAAAUUAUCCACCCCUUGACGACAACGCAUACAAAUAAUGCAACACACUGCAUGUAAAAAUAAGCUGACUGCAAAUCUGAAAAAAGCAGAGGGUGAGGACGAACUUUGGUAGGAGGGACAUAUCGGAUAUGUUAGACAGUUCAUGAGAACCUCUCAUUUUGCACGCCACAGAUGAUUCUCACGUCCGAUAGAUCCUGAGGGUGAUGAGUGAUCUAAUGAGGCAGGAUCCAGUAAAGCUUCCUCUCGGUGGGAUGGCGACGUCUUCACAGGGGUUGGGAGUGUUGGGCACUGAAUCUUGCUACAGCUCUUCUUUAAACUAUAGGGACUGAUAUAUCGCCACAGCCGACACGCAGCGUAGCAAAAUUGAAUGUCGUAAAAUCCAUGACAAACCUGAGGCCAUAGAAAGCAGCGUUGACUUCAACUCCAACGAAACCAGCCUCUGUGAUUGCAGAAUCAACAACCCUCUCAGGUCCAUACUACUAAAAAGAAAAGAAGCUUUAGACACAUUGAAAGACUCUAGGAUCUGCAAACAUUUCCUCAUCAAACGCAGCAUUCAUGGCCUCUCUCACAAUCAUCUCUUUCCCAUAGUAUCAUAACUACGUAAAGGCAUUUCUGCAGCACAACUCUUCCGUGGCCUUUCUCUUGACAACAUAGCAUCCGAGGGCUUUUCGUAUUAGAAUCGAUAACAUCAUGCGCUCUUGAACUCGAACUUGCUCUCUCUCUCUCUCUCUCUCUCGAACGGGUAUCCUUGGAAACAAAGUCCAGCUUCGUCAUUCCAUCGAACACCUUCCUUGCAAACUCGAUUCCCUCCUCCACAGCACAACCAACGGCAAUUGAAUUUCAGAAGACAGCGAGAGAAUUGGGAGAAAAAACAAGAUCGAAACAGAAAUCAACAGACAAAUCUGGAACGAAUCGAAAUUCAUUCUAGAGUUCAACGGGAGACGACGAAUUUCGUCAUCGCUUCAAUGUUACGAGGAACCGGCUGUCUCUGAAGAUCUCUCGAAGCAAUGAUCGUAAGAGAUUCCAGUUGACAGGCUCACUCCCUCAUGGUUUCGUACAGAGAGAAAGAGAGAGAUUCUUCUCUGAAUUUUAGACACCUCGUUCUUUUCUCCUCUCUCUCUCUUUUAUUUUAUUUGCACUCUUGUUAUUUCUUUUUAUUUUGUUUUGUGUCUUUGAUUUGUAUUUUAUAAAUAAAAAAUAUACAAAUAAAAUUCAGCUUCUUCAAUGAAGGAACUGAAUUUUAAUAUUCUAUCCCCUCUUUUCUUUUAUUUGUAUUUUUGUUAUUUAUUUUUUAUUUUUUACAUCUUUAAUUUGCCGGUUAAACUAACGAUACAGUCAAAAAGUUGAAGCUAUGCUCCAAUACUGGAUGAGCAUCACUCUUUAAUUUGGCCAUAAGCGAAAUCCAUGCAAGUAGCACGUACCAACUAUGCCAAUCCAACAAUGCAUGCUCCUUGGCCAAAGCAUUGGACAUCACCAUAAGAACCACCGGCAUAGUGGUCUAAUCAUCGGGUCUCAAUGUCAGAUUUUCAAAAUAUCUUUCAGUUGGGCCCAAUUUAGGAAAUUUGGAUUUUAGUUAAAGCUGAGAUGGCCCAUAUCCGCUUUUUUUGUAAUUUAGAAAUAAUGUCUUAUUUUCCUUCUCACCAAGCCUCUUUCAUUUUCCCCGAUCUCUCGUUCUCUCUUGUCUCAUGAUCAUCGAGUCGUCCAGUCCCCACCAACCCGCCACCGCGCCACCUUCGAGCCCUGAGCUCUGCUUUCUCUCUCUCAGUCUUUCUUCUCGUGUCUCGCCCACAUGUCAGCGAGUUACAAAGCGAGAGAUGGGACGGACUCACUUUUUUGCUCGUGUCAUGGUCUCCCUCCCGCUCCCCCUCUCUCCAGCAAGUGGCAAAACAGGUUUUUACUAGCCUGUUCUGAUGUCUUCAAGGUUUUUGAAUUUAGGACGUGCUAUUUGAAUUUCUCAUGGAGAGUAAAAGCAAAAAAUAAAAUAAAAUAAACACUUUUUUUUUUAAAUAUCGGGCUGUGCCAGACCCUUGGAUCUGGGCCAUAUGGCAUGGCUUCAGUCCGGGCCAGGUCCUCAGUCACACAUUUUUGGACUGACCCUCGAAAUAAGAAAAAGGUUUCGCUCUGGUCCUUUGGCCACGAGGCCUUUAUUGGCUUCCACAGCUAAUAGGUGGUCCAGCGAAUGACCGCAGAGCCGUUGGAUAUGAUAAGGGACGCUAUUCUUCCAUAUCAGCUAACCUCACAAGUUUUCGGAGAACGGUUUGGUUUCGCCUCUUCUCUUUGUGUUUUUCCCCUUUCUGGGGUUCCUUUUUUCUCUCCCCUUUCUCUCAGCAUUGUGUAAUAUCAGCUCAUGCGAGCGAGCCAAUUGUGAGAAUUGCUUGUAAUUUUCUUGUUUUUCGUUUCUUUUCUUGGCAAAUGGAGCAACACCUAAAACUCCAAUCGCAUUUCAUUAAAUUGGGUAUCAUUCAUCCGGCCAAACCUACAACUUGAGGUGAGUUGUUUUCUUUCGUGACAAAAGCAGGAACACUAGCAUCUUACUAGUCAAAAGUUAAAAAGACUUUUAUCAAGAUACGAUAGUUGGAGCUAUAUAAUUCGUGAUAAAAUAUUGUGCUCUUCUAUUUCCUAUUGAUCGAGUGACAUGCAAAGACUAACAUAAUUUCUAAAAUAAAGGGUUUAUUGUUAUUAGCCCGUGAGAAGACCCAGGAAAAGGGCGAAACAAGAAUUGAAAACGUGUCGAAGAGGACAAAGGAAGAGCAAAUUCUUAUCUGGGUGCGGGGAAUCAUGACCAAAGGGGUUCUCAUCGUUGUCGUUAAUCGUUAAACGUGUCGUUAACGGCUCGAUCUCGGGUGCACGAAUCCGGAUCCAAGGCGAAAAGAGGGAAAGGGCCCCGUCCUGAGGAUGAUCGGGCGCGGGAGGAGGGAGGGAACCCGGUAAAAGCGGUAGGGUGGCGGGGCAGGGGAGUGCACCGGCAGACUACUCCUGUUCAAUUUCGAUUGGGUUUGUGAGGUUAAUAAUAAUUCAGACGCACACUCAUUAAUGCCACAUUCCAAGCCUAAAUGAACUGAAAAGGACGUGCUUCUGGAUGUCCUUAUCCUUUCUCGUUAUGUUGUUCUUCAUUUUGAAUUUGAAAUUAAGUGUCAUGACGUAGUUAAAAUUAUGGGUUUUAUUUUUCCCACGGGGAACACCAAAGAGGUUCAUGAGAAAAUGUAAUGAGAAUCUUCCAAUGGCCUGUGGAAUUGGAAAAAAUGUGAUGAGAUGAUUUGGUUAUCAAACGGUUGGGAUGAAUUCGUAGAGCGUUACUCUAUCUGCGAGGGACAAUUUUUGGUCUUCAAAUCUGAAGUGGACUCCAUUUUCCAUGUAAUCAUAUUUGAUAAAAGCAAGUCCAAGAUAGAAUAUCCACCAACAAAUGCCAAUGGUAGGAACCGACCCUCAGCAGUUGGGCAUUUGUCUGGUUGAAAGUGGAAGAUGCCGACGAUUUCCGUGAUGUUUCGGUCAAGCUUGAAGUCUAGGGGGAUGAAUUGCAUUCACCCAAGUGUCCUCGGCUUUGUAAGGCAAUGGAAUCUGAUCGGGUUUGCGAAGUUCAUGACGGUUCCUAUGCACACUCAUCAGCACAGAGUUUGCGAGGAGACGGAAGUUCGAACUACUUAUCAUGAGAUUUUCAAUCCAUUUGAUUGUGUUCUUGUGUUUGAUUCCAAUUCCGUAUUCCGUAUAGGAACUCUCCAUGUGAUUUGGCUAAGAGAGGGAGCGUUAAAGCUAACUCAUUCUUGUAGGGCCCAUUUGGUUCGGCUUUUGGAGAAUGCAUUUGCCAAAAUGCAAAUACCUUUGGGUGAAUAGGGUUUUCCGAAAUGCAAAUAUCGUUUGAUAAAAUUUGCAUUGAGAUAUAACUUUGGCCAAAAUACCGUUUGGUAAAAUUUGCAUCUGUAAAGGACUUUUAUUAAAUUAAAAAAAACAAAAAAAAAACAUUAGUAUUUUUUUUUUUGAAGUCUGGCCAUCGGAUUGCCGGAUCUGGCGGCCGGAUGGUCGGAUCUAGCGGCACGACCCCAGGCGACCUCAUGUGGCCGCUUGGGUCGCGCGACCCAGGCCAUCAAUCGCCUGGGUCACGCGACCCAGGCGUCGCCUGAGGUCUGGCAACGGUCACCGGGGUCGGGCGACCCUCAGGCGGCAGUCACUAGAGCCUCGUCGGCACGCGUGACCCCUUAGCUGAUGACCCGCCGGCCUCCGAUCAGCUUCUUCCGAUGGUGUGCGGUGGUUUUUGAGAAGAUGAACAAUACUGAACUUGCAUUCCAGAGAUGCAACUUCCCAAAAUACCUCCGGAGCUGCAUUAGACUAAAGGCCUUUAGAGCCACUUGGAGAUGCAAUUGCAUCUCGCCAAAGUCACUCAAAAAAACAAAUCAAACACAUUUGCAUUUGACCAAGGGACUUUAGAGUCCCAAAGGGCUUUCCAAAUGCCCAACCAAACAGGGCCGUAGUGUUUAUCUAUCUCUAGCUUUCCCAUGUGUGCAUAUGUAUGUUUUAGGGGAUCUCAUAAAUGUCAAGCCAAUGGAAACAAGCCGAAUGAGUCAUAUCGGAUUUGAUUGUGCUGAAAUUGACAUUGGUGUGCAUAUAGGCCUCGAAAGCUAGACUAUUAGAAAGACCCAGAUCCAUCAAAUUGGGGUUGAUGUGUCCGGAGAUAUGAAUUUCACAUAAUAAGAAUAGCAUAUGCCUAAGCUUUCUUCAUGUUCUAAUUUGUGACUGUUGCAGAUAAACUGAAACAACUGGGUUUGCGCAGAGUUGUCAAAUCAGCCAGCAAAAUUAAACCCGACCACAUUGCGGUGAGGUGAAUAUAUCUAAAGAAAAGCAAUGUGGUAUGAUCCUCAUGACAAUGACAACACUUGAAUUUAAAUCACAGAGUUGCUAGACUAUAUUAGCUCUAGAUUGAUUGUGCAUCAGGUCAUUAAUUUCUGUUUUUAUCCUUGACAUGCUUUGAAAAGGAUCCUCGUACUGUCUUGGUCAGAAAUCGUUGGUUGUCUUCUUCUUUCUGAUGACAAAACUGCAGAAAGUGCACUUGAGUAAAGAGUUCCCGGCCCAUUCCCAAAGAUGCACUUCAAGAAAAGCCUGUGGACUGUGGCUCUCAUAUAUCAGGACAAAUCAUGGCCGGUGAAGCGCAUUAGCCACGAACAUUAUGGAAAGUUAUCUGUUGGUUGGGCUACUUUCUCGAGAGAAACUUCUCUGAAGGAGGGAGGCUUGUGCAUGUUCAAGCUCUAUUAGAAGGGGCAACGUCGUGUUCAGAGUAUACAUCUUCAAGACCACUAGCCAGAGGUAGGUGAAAAAUCCUAUGCAAUAGGACACGGCAAAGGAAGCAUCACUUUAGCUCAGAAUUGCUUGGCUAAAAUCUGCUUCAAAUUUGACAAAUCAGAAAAAAGCAUGAGUUUUAUUCUAAUGAAUGGAAAGAUACCUUUAAUCGAUCCUAGUGUUACAGUCACCACGUGGGGAUGACCGAAUGAGUCAUGAGUCAUGAGACGGAGGAAGCUGAUUGCUUCUAGUACAAGUCACACAGCCUCAUUUCCUUACUCCUCCCAUAGUAGAUUUUCGUCGUCAUCGAACCACUCUCUAUAUUUCAAAACCCAAAAGGAAAUUUAUAUUCAUUUAAGCAAAGAGAGACAAUAAAACGAUGUAAAAGCCGUCCUUCAAGUCUAUAUUAAUCAAAAUAUCCAAUGCUCUCUAGUGAUUAAUACAUAGAUUCUAAUUAUAAUCGGACAUCUACCGAGCACAACCGAAAAAGAGUUCUAUAAGCUAGCAAUGACCUAAAAAAUAGUUCCACAAGAGGGCUCAACCUCCUCGACUUAUUAAAUGAAUCACGAGGCAAGGAAAAGAGAACUUGGGCAAUUAAUGGCAUUAAACGCAAUUAAUGCGAAUCAUGCAGAAAUUAUUAGAAGUAUAGUGAGUUGGGGCUUAGAUGGUGUUCCUUACUCAUGUCAAUUGGCAAUGAUAAAGAAAAGUAACUAACUUGUGUGAAAGUUAUCAAUCAUUUAAAAAUUUAGUGUCACUUUAAAACUUACAAAAUUUAUUAAUCAGAUAAAAAAAUUAAAAAAAAAAUGUACGAUUACAAAUUACUUUCAAUCUGCAGAGCGUUACUUACAAAUUUGAAAAACUCUUUUAUGCAUGUGACACUCCAAAUUCCAUAUGGAUUGGAAGAGGGAUAAUUGACCAAUAGAUAAGUGUGAACACAAACCACCACCGCUAGAUAUUCACCUCCUGAAAAACUUAUUUAGGGGCUUAGAUCAUAACAAAUCGGAUUGUUAAUAUUAGAAAAUUCCAUGCCUAACUUAUAGCUCGAACUUGCACAUUAAUUAAAGAUAUUUAACUUGGUAUUUGGCUCAAAUAAAAGUUGUACUCUACAAUGCUAACCUAAGAAAAGUAUAUAAUUCUCUCAAAUUAAGAUAGGUAAUUUCGCACAAAAAGUGUUAAGCGUGAUUGUGGUUGGUGGAGGAGAAAUACCUAUGUAGAUAAACCAAGAAAGCGAAUCUUUUUAAUACGAAAGUAAGUUAUACUAGCCAUUUAGCUUAAUUCUCCAAAAAAGUAUCAACUUUAUCUGGAGUAUUAAUUCAGGCAUAACCUUUUUUUUGUAACAAAAAAUCAUCAACUUCCAUGCCUAAAUCUGACUCCGAUUAGCUUUCCAUCAACUAAUGGUGUUAAAUGUUUGAUGCAUCAAUUUCACGUCAUUAUCUUUUUCCAAGUCAGAAUUCAUAUAUAUAUGCUGUCUUCUUUUUUCUUUAUUUCUUUUUUCCAUUUCCCUUUUUCUUUCUUCUUCUUCUUCCUUUCACUGGACGAUAACCUGACCACCGUGAGUCAGCCGUACGAUCCAAUCAACGGCCCAGCCCUCCGUCCACCACCACCUCGCCACCUUCCACAACCCCAGCCGUAUUCCUGUUUUUCCCAGCCUCUCGCCACAUAUCUCCACCACCACCGCCUCUACUCUUGGCCGAUGACCCCUGGCUUCCGAUGUCCAGUAGCCUGGCCGUGGCUUGUCCUCGCUGUCGUCGAGCUCGAGCUCGGCCGGCGCUCUCGAGCCUCAAAUUUUGGAUCUAAGCUCAAGCGAGCCCUAGAUUCGAGAUAGGGGGUCAGCUGGACCUCGGACUUGGGUUGAUUAAGGUCGAGCGGGGUCGACGGCAAUCACAACUAGAUUUUUGGAGGUUAAUAUCCGUUCGUCCAUGGCUUUUCAAUCCAAGUCUGUGCAUGUUGAUUAAUUGAAAAUGAGUGAAUCAGCAGAAAGUUUAGAUUUUUUUUGUUCAGAAUAAGAUCACGACCAGUUUCAUUUAAAAUAUAUGCAAUAAAAUAAAAUAAAAUAAAAUAAAAUAAAAUAAAAUGCAAUGACAGAAGAGAAGCAUUGUACAGUUAGUCACUUUGCCUUCAAGAAGCUGAAAAAAAAAGUUGGAAAUGGGCUCUGGAAUACAGAUUUAGCUCAUUCCACUGAAGAGUACAAAGAAAUGUGUGCAGAUGGAGUAGAAGGUCGCCGAGGUAGGAGGUCUGGAUGCUGGGGUUCCAUCCACGGUUGCCGCCGACAAAUGUGGUCGGUGACGGUGGCAGAGGCCGGAGACACUAUGGCGGCUGCAAGGAGGAAGUGGAGGAUGACAGGGUGGGAUGAUGGUGGCCAUGGACGGACAACCUUUAGGUAGCGAAAGGAAGAAGGAAGAUUAUAAAAAGAAUAAGAAAAGGAAAAGCUACAUAUAAUUCUGAUUUGGGAAAAAAGAAUGAGUGGAAUUGACAAAUGAGACGUUUGAGGUUGAUGAUGCUCUUUGGACGGACAAAAAGUUAACAGAGGUCAGAUUUGGAUAUGAAGUCAAAGUUGGUGAUUGUUUAUGAGAUACUAAAGAAAAAAUAUUUGGGGCCAGAAUUGAGAUUUGAACCUAAAUUGGUGCAAUUUUGAGGAAUUAAGCCCUUGCUAUUUUUUUUUUUUUGGACAAUAAGCCCUUGCUAUUUAGAAUCAUCGUUUUCGACUAUGUUUUAAAAAUGGUAGUGUCUAUAACAUGAUAACAACAUGAACAGUAAUAAGCAAGAGAAUGAAUUAGGGCAUAUUUAUUUUCGCGGCAGAAAAUGCUGCAGGCAGAGUCUUUCUAUUGAAGAGAUGAUCCUGCCCCCACGGACGAGGACACUUAACACCUACAAAACACAAACGGGGCGAGGGAGUUUCUAUUGGUGGGUUCCAUCAUCAUUAUAUUUAUCUAUGUGAUGUAGAUGUUUCCGUAAUGGGUUCUCCAUUCUUUUCAUUUUCUUGAGUUUAAGCUUCCAUCACUUAUCUGAAAAUGGAGAAGCUGGACUCAAAAAAAUUUUGAACUACUACCAAAUAAAAAAUUGUUGGAUGAUAAUUAAUAAUGUUUCAUUACUUUAAUAGUUUUGAUGGCUUAAAUCUAUUACCAAAAAAGUCAUAAACUUAUUUUUUUGACUAAUUGAGUCCUAAACCUUUUACAAUUAUUUCCGAUCAGUCCAUUCGGUCAAAAUUGGGUAGUCGGCACUGAUGUGGCUGUGACACCCCUCGACGGCCCCCGAUCCGAUUAGGGUCGUCACAGUUCGCUUACCAUUCACUUUCCUUAUUAACAUAUCACUCUGAUACCAUUUCAAUUGUAGCGGGUCCAUACAACCGUGGGGGUUUACACACAUUUUUUUUUUUGAUAGGUCCCUUGCGCAAUUCAUAUACGGAAGCACAUCUAGCAAACUCCCUUCCUUAUAUUUAGAAAACUAUGCACACCUACUAAACAUCUUAUAUAAGUUAAAGCCGUACACUUUUAUUUACAUAAAGCAGAUGGACAUCUUUAGUCGGUACAUCAAAAUGCCGUAGUUUUCUAUACUCGGCUACACUUCAAAAGAUGACCGACAUCUCCUCCCACAAUCGCAUGCUUAAGGUCCAUCAUCCAGUGUCGGCGUCCAAAGGUUCCCUCCUUUGCUAUCCUUCUCCUCGCGGUCAUAUCCAACCGCUCAAACCAUCUACUAAUCUGAAAUGUUGGUCCCCAAAAGGGGUGAGUACUACCACUCAGCAGAUAAGGAAUCCAAUAACAACUCAAUGCAUCAUGCAAAUCAUACAUGCAUUGCAGGCGUAACUUACCUUGCAGCCAUGCGUAAUACUAUCAUGCAUCAUCAUGCCUUAUCAUCAUGCAUAUCAUAUCAUCAUAUGUCAUCAUCAUAAUCAUCAUCAUGGCAUCAUUAUAUCAUACAUGUCAUCCUUAUCAUGACAUCAUCACAUCACAUAUUAUCAUCAUCAUCAUGCAUAUCAUCAUGCANNNNNNNNNNNNNNNNNNNNNNNNNNNNNNNNNNNNNNNNNNNNNNNNNNNNNNNNNNNNNNNNNNNNNNNNNNNNNNNNNNNNNNNNNNNNNNNNNNNNCAUCACAUAUCAUCACCAUCAUCAUGCAUAUCAUCAUGCAUAUCAUACCAUGGGUGAUCAUUAUAUCACAUCACAUAUCAUCACCAUCAUCAUGCAUAUCAUCAUGCAUAUCAUACCAUGGUUUAAUUUUCAUCUUUAUCUUUCAAUUUUGAUCACCACAUCACCCAUUCAUCAAUCUCAUCAUCAAUUUCAUCCCAUAUUUUACCCUCGCAUCCCAUGCGAGAAAAACCUCCGGGCAUGUAUCCAAGAUACAACCGGGCAUCCGGCCCCCCACAUUCCGGGCAUCUCGCAUCCCAACUAGCAUCACGAGGAACCUCCAGGCAUGUAUCCAAGAUACAACCGGACAUCUGGCCUUUACCCUUCUAGCCAGGCAUCCCGCACCCCAAUCCUGGUGUCGCGAGGAACCUCCGGGCAUGUAUCCAAGAUACAACCGGACUUCCGGCCCCCCACAUUCCAUGCAUCCUGAAUCUCCCAGGGAAUCUCUGGAAUUACGCCACCAGGCCACCAGACAUCAUCAUCCACCACAACCACAUCCUCAUUUACCAUCAUCCACAUAUACCAUUUCUUUAUCUCAAUUUAACAUGGCAAUUGGCAUGGUAUCAAACAAAUCACACUUGACAUGGAAUUCACACUUGCAUCUCAAUUCAUAUGUCAUACACAUGCCAAAACUUUAUCCCAUACACAUCUCAAUUCAAUACAUGUACAAGGACCAUGUCAUACGCAUACCAAGACUUUAUUACAUAUACAUCUCAAUCCAAUACAUGUGCAAAGACCUCAUCACACAUAUGCCACACAAAUAGAAUUGAAUCCAUGGCCAAAUAAAAAUCCAUUUUAUUUUAUUAUUAUUUUAUUUAUUUAUUUUCAUAAAUAAAUAUUAAAUUUAAUAUCUAUGAUUUUCCCAAAAUCAUAGUAUUCAAACAAUCACUAAACAAAUCAAUAGGAUCACAAUUUCAUACAAAAUUCAUAGCCAAAUUGAAUUUCUCAUAAUUUCACAAUUUCCACAAAAUAGCACAUGAUAUUCGGAUAAUGACCAGAAUUGCACAGUUUUCAAAUAAAUUAGAUUAAAAUACUCAUAUGGCCUUCAAAAAUUACGAAAUUUUACAGGGUGAUAGCCAAGACAUUUUCGUGCAACUUUCAUGAAGAACUCUAAGUCAGAUUAUUUUUAUAUUAAUUUAUACAUCCUCACGAAACUUCUGGAACCACUACCGCAUCGUCCAGAAUACACAUCUCCGAAAUAUUAAGGUUUCACCCAUCUAUUCUCUUUCUUUUCCUCUGAAAUUUGAGUAUGUUAUGUAUCAAGGUGUCCUUUACAAGUUUCAUGAAGAGAUCUAGGUCACAUAACCAAAUUAUGGUCACCAUUUAAGUCCAUCAAGUCUCGGGUGUCUCGGAACACAUCACCAGAAUCAUCGUCUCCAAGAUCUAGCCGAUUCACCAAGCUAUACUUGUUCUUUUUGCUUCAAAUUUGAGUAUGUUGUAUUUUAAGGUGUUACCUUCAACUUUCAAGAAGACAACAAAGUGAGAUCUCCAACAGAAAUCAACAUGCAAAUCAAGAAAUCAACAAGAGGUCAGUGAAAAUUUCGCAGAUCUAAAGUCUCCGUACAAUAUAACUUUUGACCCCUCAAAUAUCCAUCGUUUUCUACGAAUUUUUAGUAUGUCAUAGUACAAGACGUUAGCUUCAACUCUCAUGAAGACACCGAAGCCAAAAUCGAACCCCAAACUCACAUGAAACUCGAACAAGCUACUGACUUCAACAAACCGAACAAGAACAGUCACACGGUUUACAAAUAACCAACUCUUACCUCGGUUUUUCGCACAAAUCACACCUAAAAUCUAACAUGCAACCACCACAACAAACAUGCAAGAGAAGUUACGGACUCCACUUGCCUUAAAGGUGAACAAGCAACGACGAACGGCGACGGGACACGGCGAUCGGACGGCGAACGGACGGCACACCCCUCCGGCUCCGCCUCCUCUCCUCUCGGUUUCUCCCUUUCUCUCAAGCUCUCUCUCUCGCACACCCUCUCUUUGGACGAAAAGCAAAGAACCGGCCAUCUCUCUCUCCUCAUCCCUUUUAUAUCCCCUUAAUCCCAUGAUUAGCAAUGAUUACUUUGCCUACAAACCCACCAAUGCAUGCCAUUCCUUCAUGCCACUUGUCACACUAAUUUUGAAUUGAUUUGGGCUUGGGCUUAGGCCCAUCCGGCCACUCCCUUGGGCUGGUCGAAAUCCUCCUCUUCUUGGGCUCUAAUGGGCCGACAAGCUUGGCCCACCAAGCUUUAGGCUAAUGGGUCCAAGGCCCAUUCCAAUUUAACCUAUUUUUCCCUUCUUUUUUUUUUUUUGAAUUCCUUUCUAUAAAUAUUUCCAAAUUCAAAUUUCAUCUUGGCCAAAGUCUUGGGACACUUUGUUUAUUAAGAUUUAAAUUUAAAAUCUCAUGGCCAAUUAUUAAUCUAUAAAUUUAAAUACACAAAUCAUCAAAUUAAAAGUCAAAUUGGCUAAGGCAUAAGCCAAAAGAAAUUCUAUCACCUAAUUAGGAACUUCAACUCACCUUAUGGCUUGUCAUUAAAUUUGGGAUGCCACAGUGGCAGCCGGUCAGCGCUAAGUCUGGUGAGGGGAGCCCUGCCGGAUCUGGUGAGGGAGGCUCGUCGUCGCAUUUGGCGAGGCCCUCCUCACCGGAUCUGGCGAGGUCUCGCCUCGCCCGACGACCGUGAGGCAAGCCCUCACCAAAUCCGGUGAGGGGGCUUGCCCUCGCCAGAUCCGACGGGGGCUUGCCCUACCGUCGCUAGGCGUGAGCUUGCUGACUAGCAAGGCAAGCUCGCCGGAUUGCCUUAGUCUAGUGACCAGCCAACUUGGCCAAUCACUAGAGCCAAAGGAAGGAGGAGGGAGGAGGGAGGAAGAGGGAGAAGGGGAAAAAAAAAACAAAAGAGGAAAAAGGAAAAAGAAAAGAUAAAAAAUUAAUAAAAUAUUUCAAAAAAAAAAAUAUUAUUAAGAAAAGCUCGCUGGCAUUGGCCAAUCAAUUUUAGCAGGAUGGACUAAUCGGAAUAAUUGUAAAAGGUUUAAAACUCAAUUGGUCAAAAAAAUAAGUUAUGACUAAACUAGCACAAUUGCAAUAGGUUUAUGACUUUUUUUAGUAAUUUUCCUCUUAUUUAUCAUAAAUUCUAUUUCUUUGCAAUCAAGAUUAUCUGCGAAGAAUGAUGGAUUGAUGAGAUUUGUGGUUAUGAAGGGUAUUCGCCUACAAAAUUUCUUUCCUUGAACUAAAAGGAGGGUCUGAUCCCUCCGUGCAUAGAGAAAGGUAGAUUUGUGCCCUUGAAUCCAGCGAGGCUUAGUUUUGCUUAUCAUUUUUGUAAAUCCAAUGAGAUUUUGUUAUAUAUAUGGGGUUGCAGAGGAGGUGAUUGAAUAUAUGCAUGAUCAAGUGGCAUAGAUCAUUGUUUACUUAUUUAUCCAUAAAAUCUCACACACACUAAUCGUUUAUCGAACAACAUGCAUGGCAGACUAGAUCAGGCUUUCUGUUGCAUAAUUAUUUCCUAAUUCUCUCCGCUUGACUUUAGACCUAGCAGGAGGGCUUGAGAGAAUGUGAGUGUAUUCAUGCUUAUAAUCAAGUUUACUUAACACGAAUUCAUUGGCUUGAUGGGAUUAUUUGUAUAAGUGUAGUUACUUUAUGGAGAAGCUUGAGUUAUAUAUUAGAGAAGUAUCCGCAUUGUCUACGUGAAAAAUUUUCGAGGCUCCUUCCGUCGUAGCACUAAAUAUCUAAAGUCCAUAUGAAAACAGAAAUCUACUAUAGAAAAAGAUAUCUGCCUCUUUCUACUAGGCUUAAGCUCGUGUCCGGUUUCAUACAUCGGUCCAAAGCCCAAGCACCAAAUGGGUCCGUAGGGUCUAGCCCUCAACAUAAGCUAAGGUGAGCUCGUUCCUAAAACAUCCUAUCUUCUGGUCAUUAUUUGACGAUUUAAAGCCCAAAGGAGCAAUUAAUCCAAAAGGAAGACUUUCCCUGCUUGAGGAGCGAAGCUUCCCGCAUCUCGUAUGCUCUGAAUUUGAUUAUGCUUAUCAUUGUUUGUUGGGUGUAAAAUUUCCUUUCCAGAAAUUAUACUUUACGACACAAAUUAUUAUGCACCAACUCCACGUACAGAAUCAAUUGGAGAAUACAUAUCUACAAAAUUAUACAAUAACAGCUUUUCUCUAAGAUUGAAACACAACACUCUAAUAGCUAGAAAGGACUUCUCCUUGUUUCAAGAAUUAGAUUUGCAACGUUCUCUAGAAAAAAAUACAUAAAUAAUGUGGCCACGUAGGCUCCACCUGAGCUGAUAUUAUGCACUACUGACUAAAUAGAUUACUCAAAUGAGAAUAUUUUUACAUGCACUAAUUCCAAAAAAUCUUGACUAGACCUUAGAAUUUAGAUUGAGGGCAUGUAAAUCGCAAAAUAUGAUGAGUAUUAUAGGAUCAACGGCUGUGAUUCAUCUGAUGAGUCCGUGUAAGUAUUUGUCAUUCCAAGCAGGGAGGACGGACAAUAUUGUGAUCUUACAUGGGGAUUCUGGAAAAGGAAAAAGCGACACGACUGCAUUUUCAAAAAGCAAGAGAGGCUAAGGAUAACUAAGGAUGAAAGUAAAGUAGUGGGGACCAUAACUAUUUGGCAUUGCCUCAAAAAGGUCAAGAGAUCCAUCAAUUAGAUUGGGUUUUGGUGGAUUAUGAGUUGAUUCUAGUGCUUUGAAGCAGUGUGAAUUGGAUUCCAAAUAGAAAGCAAAAGAGGUGGAAAAAAGCAUACGUUGGUUAAAUUGAACAUCGACACCUCAUUCCAUCACUCAUCACUUUUGGAACUUGUGCCUAUGUAAGCUAUUUUGCUUUUUCUUAAAGUAUUAGACACAACAUGACCGCUUUAGCGUCCACAUUGGAACUAGCCAUCUUCUUUAAGAUUAGGAUAUCCAUUAAAAAUGACCAUGAACCUACUUUAAAGAUUCACCCACAUAAAGUCACAAUCCCUUUAUCAACUAAAAUUAAUUUUUUGAAAUUCUUUACCAUGGAGACUACGGGAGUCCGGAGCAAAAGUAAGUGACAAUGGAUGUCGACAUCGAACUUUUUCUAGUGGAAAAUAAAGCAUGCUUUUUUCUUUAUUUUUUGGGUACAGUAUUGCCGAAGGGAUAAGGCAGGUUCGUCAAAUGUAUGGCGCUUGGUCAAUUAGCUAUCCCAAGGUGGAUGUCUCCGUCGCUAAGAUUUGCAAAGCCUCAUUGAUAAUGACUCAAAUGGGCAUAGCUAAGACAGUGAACAGUCGAAAAUUAUUUGGUUACCCACGAACUUUUUAGAUGGUUGUACAAUUCCAUAUUAAAAUUAGAGUGUAAAUGUGACUUCUAUUGGUAAGGUAAGGUUUUAAAGAUUAUGGCAUUUUCACUUAAAUAAGUAUGAAAGCAGAGUACGAAGAUAAAGAGGAUGUUUCAUCUUUCAAUUGAAAAUUAAAACUGUCCAAGCACUAGAAAUCUGACCUUCAACAAGUCAGAGUACCACGGCUGGAAACAACUUAAUCCAGAAAUCGCGCAUCAUGGGGACCUCCAAAAGAAGGAAAAAAAGCACGUUAGAAACAAUUGGUGAAAGCGAAUGAUGAACCGACCGAACAACCUCUACAUAUAUGCAUAUAUUUCCAAAGAAUAACCCCGCAUGAAACAAGAAUCAUUUUCCCAGCUAGAACUAGGGAUGGCAAACAAAUAGAGAAGAUUGUGGAGCAGAUAAGAAAGCUCACAAUGAUUUUUCUUUAUGUGAGGAUUGUAGAAUCGAUAUUUCAUGGGAUUUUAAAUAGACGUGUCUACACGUGCAUACCCCUAAAUUACCAACAAAAAAAAAUGCUUACUUUAGGAAAAUGCUAACUAAAUUUGGUAACUUUUUUAUAUACACUUAUUCCUCAGAAACUAGUAGCUAUUAUGCAAAAGGUCCAUAUGACCUUAAUUUCAAAGAGAAUGUCCCACAUGACUUUAAUUAGUCAUAACAAUUUUCUUUUGUUAAUUAUUAGUCAUAAUUUUUUUCAUGUAGUCAUAAUAAAUAUAAGGAUUUAUGAAUAACAUGACAUCAUAAUUUAACAAUUAUGCUUGGCAAACGAGGUUAAACGACUUCAAUUUUUACUUAUGAAGUGAAUUUCUUCUUCUUUUCUCACUUAUAGGGAUGAUUAUGAGGGGCUCUCUUUCAACAAAUCUGUGAAAAAUUGAAGGACGAUUCAUGAAAAGUCAAAACUUAUUUUCAACUAAUGCUCAACAUUAGCUGGGUAGAGGGCUCCAAGUUGGCUCAAGUUAUAUAUGUCAAUAAAUAGAAUCUCAUCAAAAAUUGCCAUUCAAUAUAUAAAUCAAUAACACGGCCAUUUUACAUUUUAGAGCUAUUUCGAUUUGCAUACCAAUUCAAAAGUAAAACCUCAAUUUUUUUCCCAUUCAAUUAGCUUGAUUAUAAUGUUACUUCUCUAUUUUUUAAUAUGAUUUCAUGCCAACACGAGGAGUGGGCUUAGGAAUAGUACCUAAUCAAUCUCUUUGCCUUCUUUGUCCCUAAUCAUUCUUGCUUUGUUUCGCUCUUCCGUUAUUCUCUCUGUCUCUUUGUUUUUGUUUUUGUUUUUUUUUUUUUCUGGGUUCUUCUCCACUAAAAAAGAAAAUCAAAAAGAAAAAUGUAAAAUCGAUGAUACUGUUGAGGAAAAUGGGAAACAUCACAUUAAAUUCAUCUCAAGAAGUAAAAUUAUUGAUAUAAAGGUCUAAUUUGUGGUUAAAGAGCAAGAGCAAAAAAAAAAAAACACAUUAGAAAAAUCUCAUUUAUAUCAUCAUAGUAGGAGGUCCUUAGCAAGACCUUAAAAGGCUAUGACAUUCGGGAAAGACUGCAUAGAAGCGGGGAUCUAGGCCUCGAAAAACAUUCUAGCCCCAUUGCCAGACCCGGCCAUAACCCCUAUGGGGGUAGGGCUGGCAACUCUGAUCCCCGCGAUGCCUUCCCCUCUGAAACACGGAGGCAUGGUAUAGGGAAAUGAGGGGUCUCCCCUGAAAGGGGGAGGCGCCGGCCGGAAACAUCUCCCCUUUUCGGAGGGAGACCCAUCAUUUUCCUGCACCACGCCCCCAUGUUUCAAGGGGAAGGCGUCGCAGGAAUCAGGGCUGCCAGCCCACUCCCGAAGGGGUUGUAGCUGGGUCUGGCAAUGGGGCAAGUAUAUUUAUCAAGGCCUUGAUUCCAGCCUCUAUCCAGUCUUUUCUGGAUGUUAUAGCCUUUUAAAGUCUUGCUAAGGACCUAUGAGCAAGAGCAAAAAAAAAACAUUAGAAAAAUCUCAUUUAUAUCAUCAAAUGAUAAUUUUUUGAUGAUGUUCUACUUGGAAUAUGAGUGCAUCAACCUCGAACAAUCCACGUCUCUGCUGGCUCCAUCAAUUUGUCUUCUUGACUCCUUUGAAGUCAUGAUGUUGUUUUUUCUUGGAUUGCUACAAAAUUUAACAGUUAAUACUUUUGACAUUUCACACAUAAUCAAUGAUGAUAUGGACAUCCAUCUUCAAUCUUCCAUUGCUGCUUUAUUGCACCGAAAGGUGAAAUUCCCAAGACUAAAAGAGAGAGAUUCCUCUGGUGGGCCUUCCGUUCCACCGAAACCCUUGAAAAAUAGUCAGGAGGAUCUUCUAAAGUCGUUGUGAUGAUUUGGUGUAUACAUGCAUAUUCACACACAUUGCGCGAGGCUAUUCCCGCUCCCAAUUUAGCUUAAAAUCACGUCCUUUUAAGAAAAUUCAAUUAUUGAUAGACCUGCCUUUUAUUUAAAAAUAAACAAAUAUGCCUCUUCCAAUUUCUCUCUCAUCGAUUGUCUGGUCUAUUUUCUUAUUUACUACAGACAGUUGAUAAGAGUUUAUGGUUUCAAUCUUGUCAUCUACUCCUUUGAUUUCAAAGUUUUUUUCAUGUAAGAAUUUACCUAAAAAACGUCUUCAACCUAUGAAUCAUGCAAAAAAAAAAAAAAAAAGAGGCUGAUUUAUUUAAAAGAUUGGAGCAUAAGCACGUUUCGAAAUAUCAAAUUACACGUAUGCUUUCAUCGAGCUUUAGCCAUAAUUUUUUCAAUUUAUUAUGACCAAAUCUUCAAUUCUUCGAUCUAUCAUGUUCAAACUUUCAUUAUUUUGUAGAAGAGAAUAUUUCAACAAGUUAAUUUGGUAUAUUUUAUUUACGAACUUAUAAGUUAGUGACUAAUUGGUCAUAGACAAGGAUUUUGAGACAUUUAAAGUUAUUUUUCUUAUUGAUAAUUGGUUUUUCUGAAUUUAUCAUGCUAGUAAAUUUGGGAGAUCAUUGAGUGAGAGUUUCAUUUUGAGCAAUCUCAAUUUUUUUCACACUGCAUCUCUAGAGUUAUUUCAAAGUGGUGGUGCGGCCGUUUGAUAUGAAGAGAUUCAUGGAAAGGUCCCAAGCUUAAUUCAUUAGGAGCAUGUUUUCAAAUUGAAAAGCUUGCCUCGUAUUUUUAGUUUGUUUUUGAGUUUUGAUUUUGUUUGCUUUAUUCCUUAUACCUGUAGCUAGGACUUGAGAUUAUAUUACAUACCCCAUGAAUAGUUCAAGAGCAUAAAUUUUGAUAGUUUAAGAUUGAUGUCUUUCAGAUUUUGCACCGUAUUAUAUAGUUAAGGUUGCUGAUUAUAAUUCUUGAAACUAACAAAUUGUCGAGUGCUGUGAAAUAUACAUACAUACAUAUAUAUAUAUAUGUAUUGUGUGUUCUCUCAUUCUGUGUACUUGUAUUAUGGUCUUUCAUAUCCAUACGUUGCUUGUUAAAAUAUGCAUGCGGGCAAACAAUUCUCUUUACAUUCUUCAAGGAAUAUAUUCAGGGAAUAAUCAAAUCACAACUCUUAGACAUUUAGACAAAUUGUGCAUAGUGAAGUUGAAGAUCCAUCACAUCUUGUUGAAAAAUGAUGACUAAAUUACAUUUACCUUGUUCCUUGCCAAGAUCGAAUUGCAAUCACAAGAAUUUGGUGGUGUUACUUGUAGUUUGAUAAGCCAUGUUUUUGCUCACAUUGUGUUGUUUUUAAUUGGUAGUUAAAUCACGUCUUUUACAAAUGACAAGUAAUUGAAAUUAUGAGUUCCUACGAAUGAUAAGCAUUACGUGACGAAUGAUUUGAUGAUAGCAUUCGGGGCUCUUAGGUUAAACUUUUGUUUUCUAUUACAAUUUGAUUAAAAUUAUUAUUUUAAAGAAAGCAGCCAUGGAUUCUUACUGGAAUCCCAAUCCCCAUGAUUGAACCAUGCAGUCAAAAAUGGGGUCCAUAUGCCAUUAGAAGAAAGCUAUGCACGUUGCUCAUGCUUGCCUGUGGUCAUUCACUCGUGAAAGGGUUAAUAGUAAGAGAGUGAAUAAAACAGCCAAGAAUUUGCAAUAAUUUGACUAGACAUAAAAUAGUGGGAUGUCCUAUCUCCCCCUUGAGUCUACCUUAGUAUUAAUAUUACAAAAGCAUUGAUUAUUCGUCAAUGGCUUAGUAUAAGGAGCAUCAAACUCCCAAAACUUUUCUUACAAAUCUUAGUUAUUAUUAUUAUUAUUUUUUAAAUCAUAACAUUCAAAUAAUUGAAAAAAAAAAGUUAUGACACUCAAGUUUAUGUUUUUUAGAAGCCAUGGUACUCAAAUAAUUGAAAAAAAAAUGUGACCACUUUACAAAAGUCAUGACACUUCCGGUGUUUUUUAGCUAUUCUUUUUAGGAUUUUCGUCCUAUCGUUUUCUCAAUCUUUCUUUCUCAAAAGAAAAACAUUAACAGAUGCUGCCAUCGAGAAAAAUUCGAAAAAUCACAUUAAACUCAUAUCAAGAAGUAAUUGUUGAUUAAAGGGUCUAAGUUAUGGUUAAAAGAGCAAGGACAAAAGACAUUAGAAAAUUUCCAACCAUAUCAUCAUAUGGUAAUUUUUUACAACGUUCUACUUGGACUAUGAGUGCAUCAACCACGGACUAUCCACUUCUCUAGUGGCUCCAUCAAUUAAUCUUUCGACUCCUCUCUAAAGGGAAAGCCAUGAUGGCUUUUUCUUGGAAUGCUACAAAAUUUAAUUGUAAAUACUUUUUGGCCUUCGACGCAUAAUCAAUGAUGAUAUUGAUAUGCAUCUCCUAUCUUCCGCUGACAAUUGCUUCCUUGAACCGAAAGGUAAAAUUAUCAAGACUAAAGCAACAAGAUUCCUCUGGUUGACAAAUAGCUGUUGGGAUGAUUGGUGUGCACACACAUAUUUGGUGGAGCUAAUUAUGCACCCAUUUUACACGUGAUACUUUGCUAGGGUCAUUCCAAAUUUGUCUCUACGUAAUAUUUCCUUAAGAGAACCCAAGGACAAAAUGCUAGAAUAGCCAACCUCUUAUAUUUCCCCUUAUUUCACAUUUUUAGCUUGCCAUCACCUUUCUUUUGUCUCCUUAAUUUUUCCGUUUUCACAUGUAGUAUCUCUCUGUUGGAAAGAGCUUUGAAUUUGAUUAUGCUUGUCACUGUGUAUUUUGGGUGUAAAAUUUCUUUUUUGAGAAAUUAUACUUUUGAUACAAAAUUAUUCACUAAUUCACGUACAAAAUAAACAUGAGAGUCGAUAUCUAUAUAAUUAUGCAAUAACAGUCUCUUCUCUAUGCCCUGCCUCUAAGGUUGACACAUAGAAUUCUAAAUAGCUAGAAAAGACUUCUCCUUAUUUUAAGAACUGGAUUCUCAACGUUCUCCAUUAAAAAAAUGUGCCCACUUAGACUCCACCUAGGCUAAUAUUUUGCAUUACUAACUAGAUAGAUUAUUCAUAUAUCAUGAUGUACUUAUAGGCACUAAUUCCUUAUUAGCUACGUGAGUUAUACUCAAUCUAAUUACAAGGAGAUUGUCUCUCAUGACUUUAAAUUGUUUCUAUUUAGUCAAAAUGUUUUCAAACGGUCAUAAUUCAUAUAUGGGAUUAGGGGUAAAUUGACAUAUCCAACACAACAAUUUUUUAUGGGCAAGUUUGUCAUGUGAAACUAAUUAAGAGAAUUUCAACCAGCUUAAUAUUCAAAACAGAUCAGAGACCAAUAUUAUGCCUAUCUAUCAUAUGUCACUAUUAUUUUUAACGUUAUACUUAGCAUCUCUAUCUUGCACUUAUUGAAUAUUACUAUAUGAUAAUUUUAUGCUAACUUUGUCAUUUUCUUAAGAAAGGGUUCGGAAUAGAAAAUACACUACUCUUUACUAUAUAAAUUAUGCUUACAUAGCCCCAGAAUUGGAGCAAUUGGUUGGGUCAUUAGGGAUUUCCAACUUAGGAACUAGGGAUCGCUAGUUCGAAUCCCACAAACUACAUGCAAACUACUUUGGGUUGUAGUCACCUAAAUAGACCAAAGAUUUGAGUUUAACCGGUUCAUGGAAUUGGCAUGAUAUUUCAUGAGCUUCUAGGUAAAUGGCUCUCCACACUCCUACCCCUAUAUUACACACGCGUGUGCACACACAGAUUCACUUUAGGAGAAUGCUAACUUUACAUGGUAUGGCACUUACUUUAGGAGAAUGCUAAUUUUACAUGGGAUUUUUUAUAUGCACUUAUUCCUCAUAAACUAGGUAAUCAUUAUGCAUAAGAUCUAUGUCAACUUAAUUGCAAGGAGAACAUUCCUCAUGACUUUGAGGAAUAUUACCCAUCGAUCCUAAACAUAUUGUACAAAUGCCAAUUUAGUUCUAAACUUUUCGAUUUUACCAAUUUAGAGAUAAACAUUUGCACAAAAUUCCAAUAUAGUCCUUUUGGCCAAUUUCUGUUGUUGAAAUGGUUGUGUUACUUAGAAUUGUCAGUGAUUACUGGACUGCCAAAUCAAUAAUUUCAGGCAAAAAUUCAUCAAAAGGGUUUUCUUGGAAUUUUCCGUAAAUGUGUAAAACUAAAUUGACAAAAAAAAAAUUGAAAUGAUUUAAACUGAAUUAGCAUAUGUAUAAUAGAUUUUGGGACUGCUUAGAUAAUUUUCCCCAUGACUUUAAUUAGUCAUAAUAUUUUUUUUUAUAAAUUAGUCAUAACCUCCUUAAAUAGGCAAUACAAAUAUAAGGUUUAUGAGGUAAUUUGAUAUUCUAAUCUAACAAUUAUGGGUGAGUUUGAGAAAAGGAGCGAGGAUGUUAAGCAGCCACCCGGUGUUCCGGUUGAGCAAGCCAGCGAAGAAGACGCGUGAGUUUACUUUUUGCUUUUGUCCGAGUAUACGAGUAGUUAAAGAAAAUCAAUGUCGGAAUGCACUCAUUCGAGGAGCUAUGCGUAAUGACUCAGCAAGUUGCAUAUAAAGGAAACGCCUUCAUAGUUAGUGAUAUAUCCCCUUUCAACGAGAUUCACGUGGCACUCGGCAUAACAAUUUGUCAUUGUCCGAUAUGAUUGUCAUGAAAUGGGAAUACGCAAGAGUGAUUUUGAAAAAAUUCCACGAGUUCCAUAGUCACUUUGGUCGACAUCUAGUUCUAUUUGCUUACGCUUAAAUAUAUAUAUAAAAAAAAAAUUCUGCAUUUUGCUCUCCCUUGAGAAAAUUAAAAAUGGGGAAAAAUAGGUUUCAUAAAUUAUGAAAAACCAUAUAAUAACUCUACUUGUAAAUAAAUGUAUAUUUUUGAAAAUUUUAAAAAUCAACAUUUUAAAAAUAAAUUUGAAAAGGAAAAGCUCCAGACAGAACCAAACAUUUGGGAAGAAAAAAAAAGAAAAGAGGGUUUUUUUUUGGGGAGGUGGGGGGGAUGCCGGAGACUUCAAUAUGAAUGAGAGCCCACGGAGCAAAGUUAAUCCUGGCUGGCAAUAAUUUUGCAUGUUGAUUUUGUCAUGUAAAGAGUAGCAAUGGUCGCUAUGAUUUUGCGUUUUAAUAUUAUCAUCUAAAGAGUAGUAGUGUUCAAGAUAGUAAAUUAGUUUAAAAUGUUAAGAGGAUAGCAAAAAUUUAAUUUCCUCAGAAGUUCUAAUCUAACAAUUACAACUGCAGUUAUAUCUAACCUAACAAUCAUAAUUGGCUUUAUAAUCUAACAAUCAGCCUAAUUAUUAUGUUAAUUCUAAAUUUUUAACGUGAUUUCAUGGACCAGCACAAUGAGCUGGGAAGCACUAUUACCUAACCAAUGUUUGCCCAUUGGACGUGGAGGAAAAACUAGAUGCUUAAAUUAUGUUUGUCGAAAGCGGUGAAGGAAAGGAUGGAUAUCUAAUCAAUGUUUGUCCAUUGGCAUUGGAGGAAAGGAUGGUGAUUUCGACAUUGGUGUUGGUGACCUGCUCCAUGUAUUAAUAGAUUAUUUAUUAGAUUACCAUCAUUGUCUUGAUUGACGCGACCGACAACAAUCGUUUUUAAGUUUUUUUUACUUUUGGCCGGUGGAGGCUCUAAGGACUUGGAACCCUUUGCUCCCAACUUUUUAGCUUCCGAAGGAAUUGAGUGGAGUUUAUUAAAAGUCUUAACUGAGGUUAGAUUACCGAGAUCCAUAGUCCAUACACAUCCCAUCUUUCUUCCUCGUGAUUUGGGCCUUUGUUAAGAUUUUAAAUCAUUGGAACACUAGUAGUAACAUCUCAAUCGGUGUUGAUCAAAUAUUCCAGCAAAAAGUUACCAUGUCUCUUUCUCCAUUGAUUGCUCUUUGACGCCCCCCCUUCCUUCAUCUUUUCUCGCACUCGAAUUUCUUCGCCUUUUCCUCUUUCAUCAUUCUUGCUCUGUUUCACUUUUUCUUCUCCUUGCUAUGGCCCUACUCCGCCUCUUUUUCUGAAGUAUCUACGACUCUUUUUCAUCGUUCUCUCUCUCCCUCUCUUUUUCUCUCAACUUUUCCUUUUGAGGGGUUUUUAUCCGAACGUUUUCUCGCUCUUUCUUUUUUGGAAAAAAAAAAUCAAAGAAAAUGUCAGAUUGAUGCCGCUGUUGAGAAAAAUGGAAAAUUAUAUUAAACUCAAAUCAAUAAAUAAUUAUUGAUACAAAUGUUAAGAGUGCGUAACAAAAGUUUAAUCCCUUUAAUCGGAGAGGUUAUCAAGAGAAAGCUCAAGUUUGAGCUCAUUAACAUAUUCAAUUGACCCAUCUUAACUAAAAAAAAUGAGCUAAAAAGUUAUUGAUCAAUUAUGAUAUAUUAAUUGUUUAAUACGACAUCAAUUCUCCAUUGUGAAACUUUUCUAACCCAACUCAUACAUUCAUCUUAACAUUCGCCUCUCGCGUGUUGGCUUAGUAUUAUGCAUGCUUUCCCUUAAUUCAAGUAUCAUUCUCCAUUUACAUGACUCAAUUAGAAUCUCUGCUUUGGUGCGUGUGCUAACAAAAAUAACAAUAACGCCCAUCUUCAUCCCUAGUCUCUUUCUCCAAACCGAAUCAUGAAGGUUACCAUCAAGAUCACAUUUCUACACAACAACGCCCACCUUCAUUCCAAGUCUCUUUUGCUAGAUCGAACUAUGAAGGUUGCCCAAAAACUGCGUUGAUCACGAGAUUCCUUUCCUCAGAUAUUCUCCAAACAUUGGUAUACAUUGGGAUUGGCCAUUAGCUAUCAAUCAUCGGCUCUGGCAUCAUUUCUUAGGAGUGUCUAGUAGAAAUUUGAUACCGUUAACCAGAGAGAUCGCCAAAGAAAAGCCCAUGUUCGAGCUGGCCAAUAUGUUUUAUUGAAGCCAAGUUCACUCAAAAACUAGGAUAUAUUAAUUGCUGCAUACCAUACCAAUUAUCCGGUAUAAGACUUUCUAACAUAAGUCACGUGUAUAUCUCAAUAAGAAGGAUCUAACUAAUGGUUAAAAGAGUGAGAACGGAGAGAUAUUAGACAAACCCCAACCACAUCAUCAUAUGGCAAUUUUUUAUAACGUUCCACGCGGAGUAUGAAUGUGUCUACCUCAAAUCAUUCAUUUCUGUAGUGGUUCCAUCAAUUUGUCAUUUGACUCCAUUUUUUAGUGGAAGUCAUACUGAGGUUUUCUUGGAUGCUACAAACUUUAACAGUAAAUGCUUUUAGCCUCUAGCGCAUGAUCAAUGUUGAUAUUGAUAUGCAACUCCAAUUUUCCAACGAGAAUUGCUUCAUCAAAUGACUAGUGUGGCUGGUAAAAAAAAAAAGUGACUAGUGUGGGAUGUUAACAAAGAAGAGUUCCGCUAUAGCGUAACUGCACUAUCCUUUCCAAUAGCGACGGCGCAAAUGGGACCACGAGUUCUAUUAUGCUGGUAAUGCGCAACCGGAUUACAACUUUAAAAUGGGAAAUCUUUACGAGUAUCCUUAAAAUUUGUAUCCCUUUCUGAAUGAAAUGUCAGUCAAAAUGCCCUCCCUCCAAAUUGAGCACCAAGUAAAGUCAUCAAUCAUUUCUUUUCGUUUCUCUUGAAAGCAUAAAACAUUCAAUAUUAAUAUUAGUGUGCAACUAGCUUAUAACCGCACACAAUCUUGUCAUAACUAUAUACGUAUGUAUGUAUGCAAGCACACAUGAAUAUGUCUAAAAGUAUAUGCUUUUAAUUACCUCUUAUUUAGUUAGAUGUACAUCAUUAUCACAAAAAACUUUUUUUUUUCAAAGAAUUGGCAACCGGAUGAGUUUUGAAAUGACUUGCAUUUGCACUUCUGCGUUCUCUUUCAAAUGUUUUUUUUUUAAACUUUAUUAACAAAGAAAAAGCUUCACCACGUAUUGUUGCAACUGUUUCUUCCUACUUCCUCGUUAAUUGAAGAAUUAUUGUGUACAGCGGACUUAAAUAACAACGGCUCUAUACUUGGUUACCACGAAAUACUAUACAGCCUAUUAACAUAUCGUAAAAUAAAAAUAAAAAUCACCUUUAACCUCUUUCGGUUAAUUAAUCUAGUAAAAAUAAAAUGGGGGAUAUCCAAUCAUUGCAAAAUAACGUAAUAUAAGGUGUUGACUUGCAUAUUGAUUUUUUCUUUUUUGAGAAACCCCUUUUCAGAUAGGUGAAGUUCAUAUUAAAGGUAAAGUGAUUGAUGAAAAUAAUGCCAAUACCAAAACGAGACCAAAAAUAUGAUAGAGAAGGACUUUUAACACCAAAAGAAAUGGAAGUUGGGUUGUAUCGAAUAAGUAUGUAGCUUUUUUCUUUUUUUCACUAAACAGAGAGGAGAAUCAAAGUACCUAUCAUGGGCAGGGGUGUGGAGUUUAACUCUUAUAAGGAGGCUUAUGAAUUUUAUAACAAUUAUGAUAAAUAAGUAAGAUUUUGUAGUAGAGUUUCAAAAUUGUAGAAAAGGAAGAGUAGAGAGGAAAAGUGAGGCACAGUUUUUUGGGGCUAGCUCCAAAAAAAUAAAGCACCAACUUUAGUUUAAGAGACAAAUCUGACCGAAACUUUUUUUUUUUUUUUUGUCUUGUAAAAAAGCACAAAUUUUAGGUUAAGGGACAAAUCCAGCCUAAACUGUUUUUUUUGUCUCGUAAAAAAAUGUCAAUUUUCGGUUAAGUGACAAUUCUAGCUCAAGUUUUUUUUUUUCUCGUAAAAAAUUACAAACUUUCACCAUUAUUCAACUUUCUAUUUGAAGUUAACCUUGUUUCAAGAAAAAAAGGUUCUAGCCAUGAGCUUGGCGGAUCUUGUUCAUGGGGUCUCUCGAUGGGCGGUGGUCCAUAGCUUCAUUUUAAGACAAAAUGACAAAGUCUAGCCAGACUAAUUCAAUUUAGAGAUUUUUUGACUUGCUAGUGAAGUGUAGGAGAUGAUGAAUAAUUUACCGUUAUUCUCCAAGCUAUGGCUCAAACAAGAAGAUAAUGAAUAGUGUUUUAAAUCCGGCCAGCAAGUGCACAUGGAUUUAUCACUAAAAACAAUCAAUGGAUCUAAAUUAAAGGGGGCUAAAUUUAGGAUUUAAGUGAAAACUAGUGAUUUUUUUUAGACAAAAAAAGUUAGGAUCAUAAUUGUCACUCAUCCCAAAGUUAGUGUUCUUUAUGUGACAAAAAAAAAAGUUUGAGCCAAAUUUGUCACUUGACUUAAAAUUAGUGCUUUUUUACGAGACAAAAAAUAGUUUGGUUUAGAUUUGUUCAUUAACCUAAAGUUUGUGCUUAUUUUUGGAAUUAGCCUCAGUUUUUUUGCUGCAUUUGUCAAAGGCUCAAGAAAAAAAAAAUGGGUCAGUUAAGUCGAUUCAUUUGAAAAGGUUAGAAUUCAAUAUAUUUUUUUUAAUUACUCAAGCACAAAGAAUGAGAAGCCCCAAAAAUGUACAAAAAUAUCUUUAUUAGUCUAAAAACAACGGUUCUGGUGUUUUUCUUUUCUAUUUUAGAAAUAUAAGUCAUAUUUAUAAUAAAAUUAAUAAUCUCUUUUUAGUGAUAAUUUUCGUACUUGUGAUUCUUAUAUUGUAGCAUUCAAUUUCCUUCAAGUCAUUUUUCCCUUGCUUUCGUAAGGAUGGAAAUUCAAGAAAUUAAUUGGUGUUUAGUUGAGGCCUUAAUCAAGGUUAGGUUAUAGACAAGAAAAUCGAACAUGCACUCUAUUUUAGCUAAAUUUCCAUAUUGGUUAUGUCCAUAUUUUUAACCCACCAAUCAAAGAAUUGGUAAGGAUGGAAAUAAAUAAACUCUGACUUAAUAUAAACUCGCAUACAUUAAGGAAGCCAUUGCUCUCAAUUAACAAAGAAAUCCAAUGAGAUGUAAAUACUGAAUCAUUCCAAAGCAUGAGAAGAAAAUGUAACCUUAUCACUGCUGCGUCAAAUAAAUUUGUCCUUGUCUCUUUCACUUUUCCCAACCUAUAACAAUUGAAACGAGUAAUCUAAUAUCCGCCAACCUUUGUAUCACUUAUAUUAUGUUUGUGUAUAUGGGGCAGCGCACUAUCAUUUAGAUAUAGGAAAUGUGUGAUUACCUCUAUUUAAAAUCAAUUAAAUGGGAUUCCUAUCCAUGUCAAUAGUAUGCGAAUCAACCACCAAAAGAAGCAAAUCCAGACCAUGUAACUAGAGACAAUUUUUUUUUUUUUAAGAACUUCUGCGGAAUGCAAAAUACACUUGUACUUUACAAGAAAAAAAAUUAUGCUUACUUAACAUCACCAUCUUGCAAUUAUCAGACAUCAAUAAUAUUAUAAUUUUAUGUUAACACAGUCAUUUUCAAAAUGAUAUAGAAUGCAAAAUACACUCAUUCUUUAGAAUAAAAAGAAAAAAAAAAACAUGCUUACUAAAUCCCAGGAGUGACAUAGCUGAUUGGGAUGCUAGGGGAUUUCCAACUCAGGAAUAGGAGGUUGCUUGUUAGGAUCCCACAAACUGCUUUAGGUUUGAGCCAACUACACAGGCCAAAGCCCUGAGCUUAACCAAUUCAUAAAGCCUACAGGAUAUUUCAUAGAAUUAUGGGUAGAGAGGUCUCCAUACACAUGCCCCCAUAUCAUAAGAAAAAUUAUAUGCUUACAUUAAGAGUAUCCCAAAUUUAUAUGGUACUCUUUUUAUAUGCACUUAUUUCUCAUAAACUAGGUAGUUAUUAUGCAAAAGGUCCUGAUCAUAUUAAUUACAAAUAGAACUUCCCUCAUGACUUUAAUUAGUCAUCACAUUUUUUUGUUAAAAAAUUAGUCAUAAUAGUUAUAAAUAUAUGGACUUAGGCCUAAUUUGAAAUUCUAAUCUACCAAUUAUGUUGGUAAAAAGGAAACAACUUCAAUUUUUUUUUUCUUUAAAACAGAGUUCUUUUUCCCUUAAACGGAUGAUUCAAGGGGCUUUCUGUCAACAAAUAUGUGAAAAUUUUGAAUACUACAUAAAGACUCAAGAAUUAUUUUCAUCCAAUGGGCAAUAUCAAUUAGAUAUGAGGGUCUAAAUUAGCCCAAGUCUAUUUUGUCAAUACGUAGAAAACUUACAAAAAAUUGCAAUUCAACUUAUAAGUGAAUAUCAAUAAUAUAAUAAUUUUACAUUAAAAUUGUCAGUUCUUAAAAAUGAUAGAUAAUACAAAAUAUACUUAAUCUUUACAAUAAAAAUUUAUGCCUACUUAACCCCAGGAUUGGUUCAGCUAGUUGGGAUGUUAUGGGAUUUUCAGCUCAAGAACUGAAGAUCCAUUAGAACCCCACAAAUUGCGAGCAAACUACUCUAAGUUACAGCCUCUUACAUAGGUCAAAAGCCUAAGCUUAACUGAUUCAAGGAUUAUAUGAUAUUUUCUAGGCUUCUAAAUAGAUAGGUUUCUAUGCCUAUGCACUUAGAUUAUUAAAAGAAAAUGCUUACUUUGGGAGGAUGCUAAUUUUAUAUGAGAAAUUUUUCAUGUGCACUUAUUCCUCAUAAACUAGGUAGUUUUUAUGAGAAAAGGUCGUUAUCAACUUAAUUACAAAGAAUAUGUCCCUCAUCAUUUUAAAUAGUUAUAACCUUUUUUUUUGUUAGACAUUAGUCAUGGUUGGCAAAACAAUUAAACAACUUCAAUUUUUUUUCCUAUGAACUGAGGUUUUUUAUUUUAUUAUUAUUAUAAAUUUAAGACAUGAUUUGAGGGGCUUUCUGUCAGCAAAUUUAUGAAAAUUUGAAAGAUAACACAUGAAAUUAAGACUCAUUUUCAACUAAUGUUCAACAUCAAUUAGAUAUUAUGGUCUAAGUCAGCCCGAUUCUAAUAUGUCAUUAAGUAGAACAUUAUCAAAAAUUGAUCUUCAAUAUAUAAAUCAAUAACGCAGCCGGUGAAUCCAUUUUUGUGUUUAGCCGUGGAGGAAAGGAUGGUCCCUAAUGAAUGUCCAUGAGCGGCGGAGGAAAGGAUGGAGACAUAGACGUUGGUGUGGUGGCCGGUCAAUUAAUUAAAAAAUCAUCCAUUUCUCUUUAUAUAAAUGUUUUUAAAAAUAUAUAUAUAGUUCAGCCAUUUCUUUAUAUUGCUCGAUUGUUUCAUUCAUAGUUCAUUGCCUGACUGACAAGAGGACUAUGCAAGAGUCUUGGCAGUUGGGUAUUCCUUCCCAGUAAAAAUUAAUUCAUAAAAUGACAAAUAAAUUCUUAUUAAUUAUUGAUAUGACGAGUGAUGACUCUUGCAGCCUCUCAUAUCUCUUUAAAAAUAAUCUUAUAAAUGAACCAAAUGUCUGAGGAUUAGCCGACAUCCAAUAUCAUCAAUCAUGUUAGAAACUAUCAUCGAUAAAUUGUAUUAUACAUUUGGCUGAACAAAAUCGUGUUCUAUAAUUAAAAUACUAUUUUUGUACAAUCUUUGUUGGAACAUUUAUGGUACAGAAAAUUAUAUAAAAACUGCCGAUUAGUAAGGAUUUACACAUUGAAUGAUAUAUUUCCCUCUACUUUUUUGUAUGGUUGCCAGUAUAGAAAGUAAAGUUUAUUUAAGUAUCUCAGUUGGCUAAAUUCUCAUCAUGAAAGCACAAGGUCAUCAUAAUGUUUCGUGUGUUACUUGACUUUCACUGUUAUAAUGACUAAAAUGCUUAGUAGCCUGCAACAACUAAUUUCAUAUAUGUAUAUGUGUAGGCUAACCUCUUCCUGUGGAAGGUUAUAAAAGUGAAAAAAAAUUAGGGUUAUAAAUUAUCAAAAGCCACAUGACUUUAUUUGUCAAUAAUUGUAUAUUUUUGAAUAUUUUAGAACCGAUUUGUGAUAAUUGCAAUAUUUAAAAAAAACAUUAAAUGUAAAAUACUCCAAACAGACCCAAGCAUUUGAAAGAAAGGGGGGAAACUUCAAUAGGAACAAGAGAGACGCAAAAUAAUGUUAGCGGUGACUCGGGAUCGUUCCCCGUAUUAAUUUUAUCUUGGAAAGAGUAGCACUACUCAAGAAAAUAAAUUGAUUUAAAAUGUUAAUAAAGAAUGGCAAAAGUUUAAUUUACUUAGAAGUUUUGAUCUACAAUUCCAAUUCAAGUUACGUCUAAGGUAACAAUUACAAUUGACAUUAUAAUCUAACAAUUUGCUUAAUUACAAUGUUACUUCUGCAUUUUAAAUAUGAUUUCAUUGAUUCGCACAAGGAGCGACUUUAGGACUAGUACUUGAUCAAUGUUUGUCCAUUAAUGGUGGAGCUAAAGGAUGCGGAAACUUACCCAUUGGUGAUGAUGAUUGGUCAAGUUAAGAAACAAGAAAACCAUUUCUAUUACCAUAUUCAACUUUUAAUCAAAAAGUAUUGGGGGACACUGAAAGGAGAUAUCACCCAUGAUAGUAGUAAUAAUUUAUUUGCUUAUUUUGCUAGACUCACUAUGGGUUGAAAAUGAGUCUGGUGCAGACCCACGUAGGCUCACGUGGAAUUGGUGAUGCUUUUUUCAUAUCAUUUCAACUGGCUUAAAAAUUUCAAGUGUCGCACCAAAAUUUUGAUAAUGGGUUUCAGAUACAUACUGCCACCUCUAGAUGAAACUACAUGUCUUGUGGGUUUUGAUCCGUCCUCGUCCUUUUGUUCUCUUUAUUAAUUACAUUUGCUAUAGCGAAGAGUGACAAACUACAUAAAGUACCUAUUAUACAUGAGUGAUGAUUCAAAUCCAAUCAUUUUAAUAAUUGCGUUUUGAUCGAAGGUGUUAUAUACGAUUCGGAUUCUAAUCGUCACUCCAUGUUGAUUCACAAAAGUGCCCACAUACAAAUAUUGAUGAAAAUAUUAAUAUUAUGAACAAGAUUAAGGGAUAAUAUUACGAAAAAUCUUAAACUGAUACACAUGCGACAAAUUUACUUCGCAUUAAUUUUUUUAUCACAAAAAACCCCCAAACUGAUUCAAUUAUGAUAAAUUUAUUACAAACUAAUUUUUUAACCAUGAAAAAUCUCUAACUAGUACACAUGUGAUAAAUUUACUCAAAACUAAUUUUUUUACCGUCAAAAACCAUAAAUUGAUACAUUUAUGACAAAUAUACCCCCGUUAAAUUAUAUUAAUACUAGAAAAAAUUACAAAACCGAUACACUGUGACAAAUAGAGAGUAAAAUCUCAAAUUGGUAUACUUGCCAACUACCACAUGUCAUCUAAAUCAACAAUCUAACUUGAAAAUUUAACGAAAACUAACAGAUAGUAAAUUUCUCAUAGAUUUAUCAAUUCAGAGUUUUUUAUAGUUAAAAGAUUAUUUUUUUGUAAAUUUAUUAUAAGUGUACAGAUUUAAGAUUUUUUGUAGUCAAAAAAUUAAUUUGUGAUUAAUUUAUCAUGCGUACCAUAUUAAAGAUGAUAUUUGUCAAGUGCAUGGGUUGGUGUGGCCUCUCCUUAUCAAGUGGGCGCCAUUUAUUUUGCUAUUUGUUGCUCUUUCUUAAUUACAUUUUAUUAUAUCAAUCUGACACGGUAUAAAGUAUUCAUAUAAUUCUAGUCAAAUUAUUUUGUUACUUUAGAAGUUGGUAAUCAUUUGUAUUUUAUUUUUUUAAUCCACUUCAAUGAGCGUGCAAUUCAAAUAAUGCAAAGAAAUCAAUUUACUCCACAAUUGUGACGCAACGAACAACUGCCGUAAUUAAGGUACAUAUUGGUGUUUAGUUAUGGCCUCAACUAAGAUUAGAUUUUUCUAAGAUCUAAAGUCUGUUGUCCACGUGACUAGUGGAUCAUGCAUGAGUCUUGUGAGUUGGGUUUUCCUUCCCAAUGAAAAACUACUUCACAAAAUGAUAUAUGAACUCAUAUUUUUUAUUGAUAUAAAAAGGAAUGACUCUUGCAGCUUCUCAUAUAUUUUCAAAAAUCAAUUUUAUAAAAUGAACCGUGUAUCAUCAAUCAUUUUAGAAUUAUCAUCCACAGAUUGUAUCGUUGUUUAACUCAUAAAUGGAUUCCAACCUGAGUAGUGAACUAUCUUCAACCAAAAGAUAUAUCUUUUAUUUUUAUGAAAGGGGUUCAGUGGCGAUUUUAAACAUGAGUUGCAAUUGGCAUGAUAAUGAAGAUGAACAACGAAUUUAAAGGUAAAAGGUGAUAGUAAAUGUUGGAAAUUAACAUGACAUUAAAACUGAUAAAAGUACAUCAAAAAAUAUUCGGAAUCAUGAUGAUCCUUGCAAUAAUUAUAUGUUGCCAUUUUAUACUCCGCCAAUCAUAACCGCUUAUUAAGACUUAACCAUACUAGAUGCAGUUGUAACUGCAUUCCCGAGAUUUUAGGACUCCUAUCUACACAUCGAUCCUAUCCACAAGUUGUUACGACUCUUUAAGUGUCACUAGGUUAACCAUUGCUUGGUGCCCUUAUAUUUAGUCGACAUUUUCACUAUCUCCUUUCUUCUUAGUUGAUAAUUGUCGACCAGUCAUCGUGGUACAUCGACAAUGGUAUCUCUCAAUCGUCAAUAAUUACUGUCCAUUGUCAUUGAUAUGUGCUUCUAUUGUCCUUAACUUACCAAAAACCAUAUAAGUUGUCACAAACUAUAUACCCACUUAUAUCAACAUUAUGUCAUUCACAAAAACUUUAUCAUUUUUCAGUGUAAACAAUUAUACAUCUAGCUAAAGAAAAUCUAAUUAAGCGACUAUCAUGUGAUUUAAAUACAAUCUUUAUUCUAACAAUUAUGGUACAACAAAUUACAUAAAAUGUACAACCAAUCAUAUGGGAUUUACACAUUGAAUGAUAUGCUCCUGGCUACUUAUUUGUGUGGUUGCCAAUUUAGAAAGUUAACUUUACAUGAGUAUAUCCGUUGGCUAAAUUCUCAACAUGAAAGCACAAGGUCAUGGACUCAAUUUUGUAUUGCAUGCUACUCAACUUUCACUACUAUAAUGACUAAAAUGCUUAGUAUCCUGCAACAACUAAGUUCAUUUACAUAUUUACAUAAGCCAAACUCUCGUCAUGGAAGGUUGUAGACCUAUCAUGCAUUGCAUGUUGUGAUGCUACUUGACUUAUGCACCAUAUUUAUAGUGUCAUUAAUAAUUAUGUAUUUAGUCAUAUUUACUUAUGAAAAUACAUACCUGCGUAAUAUAACCCUCUUUAUAAUUUUCAUUCUAUAGAAAUUUUGUAACAAGGGAUAGUUUUUUCUCCUAUUGAUUUGCUAUCAGUUGUUUCUUUUACUUUUUAAAAUUUAUUGCAAAGCAUGUACUGUAAUUUCGUUUUUAUGAUGAUAGAUAAUUUUUUGAAUUCUCUAAUAUCAUAUAUUUGUCAAAUAUAGACAAUCAUGGACUAAAAGAUGUUUCUACAUUAAGCAUCUUAUUUAUCACAUACAUGAUAAAUAUUUAUAUUGUCGAUUUGUUAUAUAUAUUGACUAUCACAUCACGUAAUUUUUCUAAAAGUUUGUCAAUGAUAUACCUGAAGAAGGGGUGCCCAACGUCGAACGAGCGAUCAAAAAAGAUUCCGAAGCAUCUUCAUAGCACGACCCAGCAAUCAUGUUCUUUGGGGGUCCUCAGGCUAUAAAGCCGAUUUCCUUCCUUUUGGUCCGUCUGUAAAAGGCAACCAUACAUUUAUUUAAUUAUAAAAUUCGAAAGUUACUGUACACUUAGUUAUAUCUUAUUUUUGAAAUAUCUAAAGUCACGUAGUGAAUCCUAUAUAUAUAAAGUGGGUAUCCAUGCAUUAUUGAACUCCUUCGAGAGCUUGUCAAAAUUUGUAAAUCAAAAUAUUAACAGGGAUAUGUUAAAGUGGUCUUCAAAACCAAUUUGUUAAAGUGCAAAAUAGAACUGAUAUUCAAAUAAACAACAUAUGUUUAGGAAUUUGGGAUUUGUUAAAGUGACCAUUGAUAUCAAAUUGUUGAAUAAAGUUUACACGUGAUUGUGCUGGCUCAACUCUCAAGAGAGUUUUACCAUAUAUAUAUAUAGAGAUAUAUAUAUACAUAUAUAUAGAUGCUUUUCUAGUCAAAUCAAUUUAUUAAAACGACUCAAUUUGUCUACCAUUUAAAUACAAUGAGGAAAAACACAUUAAUUUAUCCAGGUCAAUCACAUGUUUUGAACAUUACCAGUCUCACAUAUGACUGAAAUAAUUUGUUAGUGAGAUUUGGUAAGUCCAAGCAAAAAGGAUUUUACCAUCCUUUAGGAAAGAGAUAUUAUCCGGUAGAGAGUAUUACUGUACUGCAUAUUAGUCGGGAAAAAGUUGUUUUCCGGGACAUUUUUCCUGACAUUCAAAGCUUACCGAAGGCUAGCUAAAAAAAAAAAAAAAAGCUUACCGAAUUACCAUCGGACAAUCCUCUAAAAAAAAAACCUUUAGGAGGACUUAUUCUGAGAAAGAAUAUAGAUGCCGUUUUCAUGUAUUUUUCUGAAGUACUCUGGAAGUUCCGAGGGACCACUUGUGCUUUUCUGCCUUGGCCAUAUGGUCCGCAUUAAAAAUUGAGUUGAUGGCAUACUGUAAAGUCACGUGGGUGCGGCCAGUCCUUGUCCAUUCAUUUUCUUAAAUCAUUACCUUUUAUUAUAUCAGUGCUGACACACUGUUUAAGUCGACUCAUUUGUUUACUGCUACUUGGACAGCUGAUGAUCAUCUCUUUCUUCCUCGAUUCAUCGCUAUUCGACGCUCCCCUUCCUUCGUCCUUCUUUCGCGCUCGAAUCUCUUCGCCUUGUUUGUCUCUCGCUUUGUUUCACUCUUUCUUCUCUUCAGCACAAUCAUUCUUCCUAUUCCUCCUCUUCUUCAGUAUCUUCUCCUUCUUUUCAUCAUUCUCUCUCUGUGUCUCUCUUUCUUUCUUGGGAAAAAAAAAUCAAAGAAAAAAUGUCGGUCGAUUCUGUCGUUUCUAUUGCGUAUGAUGUCUUCAAGAGCUAUGUAGUUGAUCCCGUCAAGCGUCGAUUCAGAUACGUGAUCUCCUCCAAGAAUUUCGCCGACGAUCUUCGGGUGGAAGUCCGGAACCUGGAGAACGAGGCUCAGAGGGUCCACAUUUUGGCAGAAGUGGCCCGAAACAACCUUCGGAAUUUCUAUGGUUACUUCCCAGAGUGGCAGCAAAGUACUGACAAGGCCUUGGAGGAGGCGGGAGACCUGUUGGGCGACAUGGGUGAGGCGAGCAAGACUUGCUGCCACGGGACUCUUCCCGACGCCAAAUGUCGCUAUCAGUUCAGCAGGAAGGCCGAGGACAAGAUCAAGGUCAUUAAGCAACUCGCUCAAAAAGGCAGCGGAUUCAAGGAAUUGAACGACAUCUCCUUCACUGAUCCUGCUCCGGGAAAUGUCACUGCUACGAAUCCAGCCAGGAGAGAAGGCGAAGAAUUCGUCCAGCCGACCCCUGCAACGGCCUCCGCUUCUUCUGCCUCGACGUCAAAUGAGCUUAGUAAGGAUGGCGUCUUCGAAUCCAGAACUGCGAUCAUAAGGGACGUAAUGGGCGCUCUUGCCGAUAACAGCAAUAGUGUGGUCGGGGUUCACGGGAUGGGUGGGGUCGGCAAGUCCACCCUUUUGGACGACGUGGUAAGCAGAAUAAGAGAAGAGAAGCGGUUCGAUCUGGUCGCCAAGGCCGACGUGUCACAAAAUCCUGACAUCAAGAGAAUUCAAAGUGUGAUUGCCCAUGCGUUGGGCCUGGACAUGAAAGAUUAUGAGUAUGAGAGCAUGCGAGCGGAUCGUCUGCGCGAGAGGUUGGGAAAUGAGGAAAAGAAGGUCCUCAUAAUACUGGACAACCUAUGGAAAGGGCUUGACUUGAAAUCUGUUGGAAUUCCUUGCGGGCAUGACAACAAAGUCAUGGGAUGCAAGUUGUUAUUGACGUCGAGAGACCGAAAUGUUUUGCAAAGGGAAAUGGGCUGCGACAAGGACUUCUUUCUUGAUAGGCUGGAGGAGAAAGAGGCAAAUAUAUUGUUUGAGAGGAUGGUGGGAGAUAAAGUUCAUAAUGAUGAGUUCAGACCCAUGGUGAAUGAAGCACUCCGCAAAUGUGCAGGUUUGCCUUUGUUAAUUGUCACAAUGGCGAAACAUUUGAAAUACGGUCGUUUGCCUGAAUGGAGGAAUGCUCUAAAUCAAAUUGAGCGGUGUUCAAACAAAGGGUUAAGUGCAGCGAUCAAUACGAUGUUGCAAUUAAGUUAUGAUCAUUUAGAAAGCGAGGAAGCGAAAAAUUUGUUACAACUCUGUGUUGCUGUUGACGUCUCUAAUCCCUCUGUUGAAGACUUGGUGAGGUAUGGCUAUGGUUUAGGGAUAUUUCAAAGAGAUAGUAGCAUAAAAGAAGCUAGAGAUGAAGUGAGUACACUCAUCCACACUCUUCAAGCCUCCUCCCUUCUGUUGGACAAUAGAGAUGACAAUGCUUUCAAGAUACAUGACUUGGUUCGUGACUUUGUUGCUCAGUUCAUUUUAAAAGAUCGGCCUCUUCUCGUGUUGGAAAAUGAAGAAAUGUUGGCAACACAAUUGUGGAGGGAGAGGCUCGAAAGUUGUAUGGCGAUAUGCUUUCCCUAUAUUGACAUGAAGGGCCUUCCCAAAGAAUUAGAUUGCCCCGAAUUGCACAUCUUUUUGCUUUUCGCCCGUAGUGGAUUUCUUGAGGUUCAAGAUUCAUAUUUCAACUCUAUGAGGAAACUUACAGUCCUAGAUCUUUCCGGAAUACAUCUCACUCAUUCACCAACCCCAUUGCAAUUCUUGGAGAACUUACAUACUCUAUGUCUUAGUAGUUGUUCACUAGAGGAUGUGGCCAUUCUCGGCAAGCUGAAAGGCCUUCAAAUUCUCAGCUUUGUGUACUCGAGAGUUGAACGAUUGCCAAAAGAAAUUGGGCAACUAGUAGAGCUGAGGUUGUUGGACUUGAACUAUUGUUCACAUCUUCAGAUAAUUGAACCGGGUGUGCUUGGAAGAUUGAUCAAAUUGGAGGAGUUGUAUAUGGAGAAUAGUUUUGAUCAAUGGAAUCCUGUGGAGCAAACUCAACCAACUAAUGCGAGUUUGAUUGAGUUGAAUCACCUGAAGAAUCUUUGCAUUCUACAUGUCUCCAUUCCCAAUCCAAGUGUGCUCCCUGAGGACCUAGAUGUCAAGAAAUUAACCAAGUACAAAAUCCGAAUAGGUUAUGCAACACGUUGGAGCAAGGACCUAGGAUCGAGGAUUUUGGACCUCAAGUUGGAUCCAACAAGUGAUGUUCUUCGAAAAGGAUGCAUACAAAGUCUCCUAAGCAAAACAGACAAUCUGUUUUUGGCCAAGUUGAACGGAAGCAAGCAAAGUAUUUGCGGAUUAUCUCAAGAAGGCUUUCCAGAAUUAAAGCAUCUGCUGGUCAUGUAUGGUUCCUCUAUCCAAUACAUCCUCCAGUGGCGUUCUGUUAGUACUUUUGAGAUGUUGGAGUCAUUAUUUCUCAUAGAGCUCAACAACUUGACAAAGAUAUGCUACAGCCAUAUUUCCUCCUCCAAGUCCUUCGGUAAAUUAAAAGUAAUUCAAGUCAAACGUUGUGACAAGAUGGAAGUUUUGUUUCCUCUUUCAUUACUGAGAGGACUUCCACAAUUAGAAGAGAUUGAAGUUGUCUAUUGCAAGUUAAUGCAUGGGAUUGUAGAUGUUGAUGAUUGUGGCAAGGUGGAGUUGCAAAAUUUGCGUAUAAUGAAAUUGCACCACUUACCAAAUAUCAAGAAUUGUUUCACCGGCGGAUCAACUCUUUCGAGCAAUACAUCAGACGACCAAGUUGGAACUCAAAUUGCAUUCUUCAAUGGGCAACGGGUAAUUUUCUAUCAAAAAAAUAUAAUUUUUAUUACUUUUUCCUACCUUGCUAAUUAGAUGCACAACAUAUCAUGUUGCUUAUUCAUUUUGUUAUUUUUAGUUUACUUCUUUCCUAAUAACCUUAUCCGUUCAUUCCUUCUUUGCAAUUAGAUAAAUCAGUCUUCAGUUUCCCUUCAUUGUGUAGAAAUCCAACUAAUUGUAUGAUAUCCAUGUAAAUUUAGUUUGUGGUAGGUUCUGAGUUAUUUUCAAUUUAAAUGCUACUAGUAUAUCUAUGUUAAUAGGGUUUAUUAAAGAAAAACUAAAGAGAAUUUCGGCACUAAAGUAAUUCCAUAAGUAAUUUUAAAUCUUUUGAUAUGGAUUUGAUUGAAUUUACUUAUCAAACUUUGUUAUUAUUCACAAAAUGGGAAGGAGGACUAGGUUUUUUCUUCUUCUUCUUCUUCUUUUAUAAAUAAAAGCAACUAGGCUAAUGUAAUUGAUGCAUGUCUUCUAUGUAUUGUGUUUAAAUAAGAAGUUAGUCAUUGUAUAGAUCCCAUAAUUAUAAGAGUACAUAGUUUUGUGCAUGUUCAUGCAUGUACAUUGUAUACAUAGAUACCUUAAUACGUACUUUUGGCAUCACAAAAACAAAUUCACAAUUUGUAUUUAAUAUCCUAUUAAAUUGGUUAUUGAUAGUGAUUUGCUAACAUUAAAGAGAAGUUAGUAAAGCAAGGAUGAUCAAUUGCUCAACUAAGAAAAGCACAUGGCUAUUUUACACGGGGAAAAUAUUGCUACGAGUGGGACCUUUUAAUUGACUAGAUAAGAUAGCCCUUUAAUAGUGGCCCAAUUAUCACUGAAGUUGAUCAUUGGCCAUGAGACUCACAAAAUAGAUUAGUUUCCCUGUCAGCAAAAAGCGGUGGAAAUUUAAGUCGUGGGUCCCACACGCUAGUGUGUGACUUCUCUUCUUCCCCUGCUUUGAGCUUCCAUGGAGAGAACGCUUUCAAAGAUAAUGGAACUACAUCAGAAAUUUUUUACAAAAAGCCUUUAUGGCUUUGCUUCUUUUUCUUUUUUACAUCAUAAUCUUGUACAGUAGAUCCUCUUAGUAUAAUCUUUACACCAAGCUUAAAGAAGAUGACAAAUCAUUCAAGCUCAACAAGGGUGAGAAAUUACAAAGUUGAUAAAGUAGUUUUGCACAAAAACAAUUAAUUGCAUUCAAUUGAAAUUGAAGGCGAUUAUUUGUAGUCUAUUCAAUUCUAGACUAGUAGGUGGAAAUAUAGUUAACAGUUAAACUAGCUUUAGUGAUAAUAUUUUAUAGGAGAUCCUUUUCCUAUAAUAUCUACACCAAGUUUAUAGAAGAUGACAAAUCAUGCAAUUUUAAAAAUGGAAGCAAUUACAGGUGAAAAUCUUUUGUUAUUUGUUUUUCAAAGAAAAUGAUGUUAGGCCACUGUAGAUAUAUUUUAUGGUCCUAUUUGCACUUAUACGGAUAAUAAUUUACUAACAUGAAAGAGAAUUAGUAAAUUAAGGAUAAACAAUGCCCUCUAUUAAGGAAAGCUCACGGCUAUAUUAUAUGGGUGAAAACUACCGCAAUUAGGGGGUUUUAUUUGAUUAGAUAAGAUAGCUCCCUUAUAGGAGCGCGGGCCCAAGGCUGGUGCCAUACGCAGUUUCCCUUGUAAGAAAGAGCGAUGGAGAUAUAAGUGGCGGGUCCCACAAGGCUGUGAUGUGAAAGUGUGACCUUUCAUCAACCCUUGCUUUUAAUAGAAACUAGAUCGCGAAAUUUUGCUUUGUAGAUUUGCCUCUUUUUUUUUUUUGGCGGUAUUCUUUGGGGCUUUUAACUUUGUGUGAUUCUAAUUCUUCAAAAAAGAGUUACUGAUGCUUUAGUACUUCUUUUUAUUUUUACUUUUGUGUAAAAUCUAGAUAUGCAAAGAUUCAUGGGUUUAUAAUGAAAUACUUCUUAAAAUUGUAAUAAGUCUCCUCCGACAUUAUAAAGUGGUGGUAGCAUACAAAGUAGUAGUUAAGGUUUGUCAAGAAUAACAAUAGACUAAUGAACGAGACACAAAAGUUAAACUUGUUGUAUAGGUGGGAGUGAGGGGUGAUGGCGAGAUACAUGGGAGUUUGAGAGUAACUUGGCAGAUGAAAGCUUUCUUAGAGUUGUAGCAAUGAACUUUCGGAAAAAAACUAGUUACUCUUUGCAGAAAAAAAAAGGAAAAGAAGAGAAUAAAUAAAGCUUUCCAUUGUCAUGGCGACCAUGGGUCUCUUCACCUUUCAGACAUGUUGAUUAACAAAAUUACAACAACAAGGAUAAUUAAUUAGGAUGGGCCACAUAUGCAUCCGACUUGAAAGGAAUACUCGAGGUAAUUUACAAAUGAUAGGGAAAAAGACGUUCAAAUAAUCUCAAGUUAUUUACUCUUUUUCAAGGAUAGUUGGGAUCUCAACCCAUGGUGAUGACUAAUGACUACUAAGUUGUUGUGAUAACCCAAUUGCUGACGUGUCUAAUUUCAUGUUGUUUGCGGGUAAAUUAGUCCUUUUUUGCCUAAUAAAUUUGGAGAAAUCAAAGACAUUUGAAAAGGAAAAGACAAUAAAAUGCCGUCUUGUUGGAUUUUAUCAAGGAAGCAGGCAAUAACAGUGUGUGAGAAGUCCUCUUGACCUAAAUGAGAAUGAGGUCACAUUCAGCUAUCAACUCCCUGUGUCCGUAGGUCACACUCAUAUACCAUUGCAAUCCCAAGGUUUAAUUUCUGAGUUGGGCUCAUAACUAGAUGAUAUAUAAUAGGCCCAAUCUUACCUGAGACCAAUGGGACAUAAGCGGCAUAUAUCUCCAUCUAAUUGUCAAAUAAUUGAUAUAAUUUGACAAUUAGAAAAAUAUUUCAUGCAGAAAUUGAUUGUUAUUAGUAACCGGAAUGAGAGCGAAUUCUUGAUGAUUGCAAUUCCUGAUAUUGCUAGUAAAAUACAAACAAAAUCCAAUUGUAAUAGUAUCCCUUUUUAUGUCGUAAAGAAAAGGUCAAGUUCAUUAGUUGUCUUUUAAGGUCAUAAAUUAGCUUUUGUUUAUCAUAGAUUUUCAUACGUGUGAAAAUUAUCCUAAAGGCUGUACAUUAUCUUGCUUAUAAAUUUCUUUGGCAACCAUUUAUAAUACCUGCUAUAUACGUAAAUUUCCUAACUGUCUUUUGUAAUUGUAAAUGCUAUGUUGAUGGAUUUGUCUGUUACAUUUCAAUCCCGUCCUUGUGGUCCUUGACAAUGGAAGGACUUCCCAAUCCAAAAGAAAUAUGUUAUCAAACUAAUUGUAUAAAAUCCUUGCAAAUUUAGUUUGUGAUAGGUUCUGAAUUAUCUCAACAUUGCAAGUAUAUUUAUAUUAAUAGGGUUUCAUCAAAACAAAAUGAAGGGAAUUAUUGGUAUUAAAGUAAUUCCAUAAGUAAAGUAAUUUAUAAUCUUUUGAAAUAUGUUCCCUUGAAUUUAGUUAUAAAAAUUUGUUAAUAUCCACAAAAUGUUUAAUAUAGGUGACUCUUAAAAAGCAAUACGAAGAAUGAGAAGGAGGACUGAAUUUUCAAAUAAAAGCAGCUACGCUAAUCUAAUUGAUGCAUGCCUUUUGUGUAUCAUGUUUAAAUAAAGCCCUUAAUCAUUGCAUAGACCCCAUAAUUGUAAGAGUACAGAAUUUUGUGCAUAGUUUUUUUUUUUUUUAUAGUAAAAGUAGGCCUUGGCAAUUGUAUGAUUUUCAUUAUGUCACAACAAACUCGUCAUUUCAAAUUCAGAAUUCUUGUUCUUGGAAUUCCUAAGUGGUAUUCAGAAUUCUUGUUAUUGGAAUUCCUAAGUGAUGUUCACCAUUUCUUUACUCCACACAGCAGAAUUUGAAAUCCCCUGUGGUAAAAGAAAUUAAUGUCUUGCUAAAUAAUUCAUGAGUAAGAUUCACCUUAAAGAUCAUCUUAUUUGGUGAUCACCCUUAGAUACUCCUUUGGUGAGAUUGGGACACAUGAAUAAGGCCGCGUCUGUAACAAUAUCAAAUAAUGGAACUUGAUACCUUAAUGGAAAAUUCAAUAUCGUGAAGUCCAGAAAAUUUUAUAGACUUACUUCAUAAGUUUCAACGGGUCUUGUAUUUCAAUUCAGCUACUUAGUAUGUGUUAGUUUAAUUUCCGAAGCUUCAAGUGUUUGACAUUAUAAUCUUCAAGAAAUUUGUGCCAAAAUUUUAGUUUUUAUUUUUUAUUUUUUUAUUGUUGAGUCCAUCCAACUUAGAUUGUAAAUUUUAUGUGGCUUCAAUAUUUUAUCAAGAAAUGGUUGCCUAGUCUCGUAGGACCAUAUGUGGUUAUUGCGGUUUCUCUUCAUGGCGAUCUACAAAUCUAAAUACCAAGUCCUUUCAACUAAGUGUCUUUGCAUUUGGCCUUUAUAGUAUUAUAGAUAUAAUUGAAUGCACUUUUGGCAUCAUGAACACAAAUUGACAUAUUUAUGUUUGAUAUCCUGUUAAAUUGGUUAUUAAUAAUGAUUUGCUAACAUUAAACUAAGGACAAAAAAUUGCCUGGUUAAGAAAAACGCACGACGAUUUUGUCCAGCAAAUGUUGAGGCGGCUACUUAGUUGACCAGAAAAGAUUGCACCCUCAUAGUGGCGAUUAGCGCUAAAGUUGAUGGCGGGGCCCAAGACUCCUGUGAUGUAUUAAUUUCCCCUCGGUCAGUAAAGGGUGCUGGACAUAUUUGUUGCGGGUCCCGCAAGGCAGUGUGUGUGAGUCUUUACGUAUUUGCUUUUUCUUAAUCGUCGUAGUCUUUAGAGCUUUUGACUUUAGCCAUAGUUCUUGGUGGACACUGGCAAUGGAUAUGAGUUGAACUCUUUUUGGGCCGAAAUUUGAGGUUGAAAGUGUUGUUGGGUUUUGCUUUAUUGUACAUAGAGAGAUGAGCAAUGCUCCACUCGCUUGUCCAUUUCCGAAGGAGAGAUUCUUCGAACGAAAUAAAACUAGCUCACUAAUCAAACUAAGCUCAGCAUUGCAAGUUAUUUAGCGAAGGAAAGAGUGGAAUUAGAAACGGCAUUAAUAUAGAGAUUUUUUUACUCCGUUUUUCUUAUUCUCUUUUUUCUUUUCCUUUGGAGCUACCUUAAUGAUCCCCCUCUCCCCUUGGCACUCGUAUGUAUUUACAUUUUGAAAGUUCAUGAAUUCAAGAUUUAAAUUAAUUGUCAAUUUCGUGAGCAAAUUCUGCAGGUUGCCUUUCAAAGAUUGGAGACAUUAGAAAUCAAUGACUUGGAUAACAUCAAAUUUAUAUUUUUCCCAUCCAUGGUUGAAUCUCUCACACAACUAAAAAAGCUGACCAUAUCGAAUUGCGAGAAGAUGGAGGCGAUCAUUAUGAAGGAAGAAGGGUUGGGAAUGGAAACAUCAGAAAUUUUGACAUUCCCGAUGUUAACCAAUUUAUGCUUAGAACGAUUGAAAAGUUUGACAUGCUUCUCUUGUGGAAAGGGUAGGAUUGAUUUUUUUGUUUUUAUCGCUAAUAAUUGUCUUGUAGAUAUGUUCUUCCCUACAAUACAAAUGGUGAUAUUCUUUUCAUCCAAUGAAAUACCAAUGACAGGUGCACGAGAGAGUCAAAAUCAAGAUCGCGUCAGAUCACGCGCCACUACUCUCUUCAAUCAAGAGGUACAUGAUUGACACUAUGUUAAAAUAUUAAAUAUAUCGGACAUAAGCAUAGCCAAGAUAAAAAUUAAGUUACUUAUAAUGUAUAUUUUGGUUAAAAUAUUUUAACAGAAAACGAGUGUCGUACAAGCUUAAGUGUUCACGGUUAUUGACAUGUAUGAGUUACAACUUCUUACUUUUAAUUUCUCUACAAAUAGUUCCCAUAAAGAUGGUUGAACAUCUCUUAUCGUACCUGCACGAAGCAUGAACAGGUAACACAAUUGCCAAAUAGGAUCUCUAAAUGCGUCUGAUGUUCCCAAAAAACUUAAAAACUCUCAUCAGCCUCACAUGUAAAUUUCCUAACCGUCCUUCAUAAUUGUAAAUGCUCUGUCAAUGGGUUUGUCCGUUAGAACAAAAUCCCAUCCUUGUCCUUGAUAAUGGAAGGACUUCCCAAUCCAAAAGAAAUAUGUCGUCAAGCUAACUGUAUAAAAUCCUUGCAAAUUUAAUUUGUGAUAGGUUCUGAGUUACCUCAAUUUAUUUAGUUUGUGAUAGGUUUUGAGUUAUCUCAAUUUACGCGUCGCAAGUAUAUCUAUAUUUAUGGGGUUUCAUCAAGACAAAUUGAAGGGAAUGUUGGCAUUGAAGUAAUUCCAUAAGUAAUUUAUAAUCUUUUGAAAUGUGUUCCAUUAAAUUUAGUAAUCAAAAUUUGUUAUUAUCCACAAAACGUAUAAUAUGGGUGACUCUCUUAGAAACCAAUACGAAGAAUGGGAAGUAGGACUAAAUUUUCAAAUAAAAGCACCUAUGCCAAUCUAAUUGAUGCAUGCCUUUCGUGUACCAUGUUUAAAUAAGCACUUAAUCAUUGCAUAUGCCCAAUAAUUGUAAGAGUAUAGAAUUUUAUAAGUUUUUUAGCAAAGGGAAGACUGGAAUUAUGGAGAUUUUUUUACUCCGUUUUUUUUAAUUAUUAUUUUCUUUGUUCUUUUCCUUUUGGGCUACUCAAUAAUCCCCCUCUCCCCUUGGCACUCACCUGUAUUUACAUCUUGAAAGUUCAUGAAUUUGAGAUUUAAAUUAACUACCGAUUCCGUGAGUGAAUUCUGCAGGUUGCCUUUCAAAGAUUGGAGACAUUAGAAAUUAGUGACUUGGAUAACAUUGGGUUUAUAUUUUUCCCAUCCAUGAUUGAAUCCCUCACACAACUAAAAAAGCUGACUGUAUCGAAUUGCAAGAAGAUGGAGGCGAUCAUUAUGGAGGAAGAAGGGUUGGGAAUGGAAACAUCAGAAUUUUUGGCAUUCCAGAUGCUAAUUGAUUUACGCUUAAAACAAUUGAACAGCUUGACAUGCUUCUCUCGUGGAAAGUGUAAGAUUGAUUUUUCAUUUUUAUUGCUAAAAAUUGUCUUGUAGAUAUAUUCAUCCCUAUAGUACAAAUGGUGGUAAUGACAGGUGUACGAGAAAGUCAAAGUCAGGAUUGCAUUAGAUCACAUGCCACAACACUAUUCAAUCAAGAGGUAUGUAAUUAACAUUAAUCAAAUUAUUAAACAUACCGGAGACAAGCAUAGCCAAGAUAAAAACUAAGUAAGUCAUUUAUUAUAUAUAUUUUGGUUAAAAAAUUUAACGGAUGAUGAGUGGUGUACAAGCAUAAUUGUUCAGAGUUGCCGAUAUGUAUGAUUUGCAAUUUCUCGCUAUUAAUUUCUCUAGAAAUAAUUUCCAUAAAGAUGGUUGAACAUCUCUUAUGGUAUAUACACAAAGCAUGAAUGAGUAAUACAAUUGCCAAAUAGGAUCUCUAAAAGCUUUCCGAUAUUACCAGUAACUUAAAACUCUCAACAACCUCACUUGUAUGGCUUAGACAUUGCAUGCAUGUACAUUGAAAGCAGUUGACAAAACAAUCGAGAGGAAAGUGAGCUAUAAGUUUCAAGAGGCUGGAGAUGAAGGGCCUUUUAAGACACUCACUUGACUUCAUUUGCACUAACAAGAUCUUCUUCUUUUUUCCUAGUUAAAGGAAGCUUUACUCUCUCUUAAUUGCAUUAGCAAAGGGAAUCGAAGCCUUCUCCGUCGCCAAACUGAGCGAGACCUCUCGGGUCUUGGGCUUCAGAUAUCACCCCUCUUAUUUUUUCCAUGAAUGGCAAGACCAUUAUUAUGGAACUUUUAUUAAAGAAAUAAAAUACAUUUUGCAAAAGCAACCAUUUUUGUUGAGUCAUUUGAAUUGUCGAGCGCAUAGCGAAAAAUGUUCCUGUGGAGAAUGAAAUAGAGCAAUGUACAGACCAGUUGACUUUGACUAAACUAAAAGCAAUAUAGGCCGUUCACCUAAAAUGUUGUCUAUGCAGCCAAAAUAGGCUGUACAAAUGGGCCCUCCCAUGGGAUUAAUACGUUGACCUUCUUAGAUAUUUUUAAUAUAUUAUAAUGAGAUAUUUAACACCAUUUUCUAUAAUUUGACUCCAGUUUAUGUAUAUGAUCUAUCGUUUGCAUAUAACUAUUAGACCUUCUAGCAUUAAUAGAAAAUCAAUUUUAAAGGAAAAUUCAAUUGAUUUAAGUAUAUAGCAGUUUGAAGUGUGGAAUGAUGUGAGUAGGAUUUGUUCAUUUGACCCAAGCGAUUCCUAUUUUAAUUGCUUUCUCGUAGCCUAACUAUGUAAUUGCUUUAUAGUGAUCUAAUAUUGAUUAGUGGCAUUCGGUAUUAGAUAAAAUCAUAUCUCUUACUGUAGUGCACCAUUUGAUGGUUGAUCUAUCACCUUUUUAAUUUCAAUCUCUCCAUCAUUUUCUUUCUAAUGCCUAAUGUUCUUCCUCAAGCGAUCCCUCAACUGCAUUCUCUAACGGUGAUUACCCAAUUGACUUGCUUUUUGUUUCUUUAACUAAAUUCUUCCUCAUACUUAAUUAAUUUACGAAAUGGUGCAGAUUCAUUGAAGAAUUUCAUCCAUAUUGUAACUAAUGUCAUUAGGUUAUUGUUAUAUGAGCGUAUUCAAAUUACCAUUUUGCCCAUAUUUAACACAUUCUGGUUAGAAUCCCUACAUAGAACUUUUUGUUUUGUCUCCGGUACAUUUCAAUAGCCUUCCCAUUCUAGAGUCAUCGACAUUGGUAUGGAGAUUUUUUUUUUUUUUUACUAUUUUCAUUUUAUUCUUUUUCUCUUUUGUGCAACUUAAGAUAGAAUUACCAAUUCCGUAAAUUUGUAAUUUACAUCUUGGCACUCUUCUUAUUUACAAUUUGAAAGUUCAUGAAUUUGUAAUUUAACUAAAUCACCAAUGCUGUGAAUACUGCAGGUUGUGUUUCCUAACUUGGAGAAAUUAUUUAUCGAGGGCAUGGAUAAAAUCGAGACAAUAUGGGAUGAUCAAAUUCCUACGAAUUCUUUCUCUAAGCUAAGAUUGCUUUCAAUGAAUGAAUGCAAAAAGCUUGUGCACGUUGUACCUUCUUUCAUUUUAGGACAGCUCUUGAGCCUGGAAAUUUUGAAGGCAAAAGCAUGUGCUUCCCUUGAAGUUAUUUUUAAACUCCAGCCACUAACUCCUCUAGAUGGAAAUAGUGUUGCUCGUUCUCCAUUAAAAGAGCUGAAGUUAAAUGAAUUAUCAAAGCUAAACUGUGUAUGGGAUAAGGAACUCUACCAUCAUAUUAAAUUCCAGUGCCUACGUUUGGUUACCCUUCAGGGAUGCACUAGGCUCACCUCUUUGUUUUCAGCCUCAAUAGCCAGAGAUCUAAUCCAACUUGGGAAUUUGGAGAUCAAUCAAUGCGGCAUUGUGGAACUCAUUGAGAAGGAAGGACCCGAUGAGUUGAGCAUCAAUGUGGAAGCCAUAGAAGGCCCAAGUCAUGGGCUAAAAGUAGCAUCAUCCUUUCCAAGUUAUUUUCAGCAUUUGAAGACUCUAGAUGUGUCAUGUUGUCAUGGGUUGUCAAAUAUGUUCACACCGACAAUGGCUAUGAAUUUGGUGGAACUCACAAGAUUGAGAAUUAGUAGAUGUGAAAUAUUAACAGAAGUCAUUAGUGAUGAGGAAGGUGGGGAGGGGCAUGUGGUGGCUUUCAAUCAAUUGAAGUAUAUGGAGCUUGAUGAGUUGACUAGGUUGAGAUAUUUUAGCUCAGGUGGAUACACUUUGACGUUCCCUCUCUUAGAAGAUAUCAUUGUGAAUAGAUGUCCUGACAUGAAGUUCUUCUUCGAGGGACCAAUGGAGGCCCCAAAGCUAGAGAGAGUACAAGUACGUUUGAAUGCAAGGUAUGAAGCAAUAAAGUACCAAUAUUUUUGGAAGGGAAACCUCAACAUGACCAUCCAAAAUAUGUUUGAAGAAAUGGUAUGCUUCAGUUGCUAAAUUCUAUGCAAUUUGAUUUUUUUUAUUAUGACCAAUAAAGUAAUUGUUUUAUUUAUUUAUUUAUAUGAUAACUAGAAUUUUAUGUUUAAUGAUGCAUCUUCUUAUAGGCUACAUUUGCUGGGAGUAAGUUUAUGCGGUUGUUGGACUUCCCGAAGCUGAUAGUAAAAUGGCACAAUGAACCUAAUCCCAUCACAUCAUCUUGGCAACCAAAAUCGCUAGUGGUGGAUAAAUGUCCAUCAUUUAUUAAUGCUAUUCCAUCUAGUUUGAUGCUUGUUUUAGACAAAUUGAGCUUUUUGCAAGUCCGUGAUUGUGAGUUGCUUGAAGAAAUAUUUGAUUUGGAAGGUUUGGAGGCUAUGGAGAGCACUAGAGUACUACCUCAGCUACAAGAAUUGAACUUGGCCAAUCUACCAAAAUUGAGGCGACUAUGGAACAAAGAUCUUCAACAAUCGAUAUGCUUCAAUUCUCUAGGUAGUCUCAUCCUUUAUAAUUGCAACAACUUGGGACAUGCUUUCGCUCCAUCGAUGGCUCGGUGCCUUGCCAAUCUUCAAAAUAUAAAAAUAAAGGAGUGUGGUCAGAUGGAGGGAGUGAUCGCAGAGGAAGAGGGGCAAGGAAGUGUAGUGGAGAAUAUUACAUUCCUAAACCUUUUGCGGAUGGAACUGAAAUGCUUGCCCAAUUUGACUUGUUUCCUAUUGGGAAAAAAUCAUAAGCUGGAAUGCCCCAAAUUACAAACGUUGAGCAUUGCCUAUUGCCCUAAGAUGAGAACUCUGAUUGGGCAGUCUUGGAUGGAGAAUGACCACAACGCCCUUUCACUUUUCACUCCCCAGGUCAGUCUUUCAAACAAAUGCAUUUUUGGCAUUUCAUUUGGAACAUAUUCUCAUAGUAUUGGACAAUGCACGGUACAAUGCAAAUUUUUUUCUUUGCGCGGGUUUAUGUACAUAAUCUUCUAAUAUUUAAUACGAAAACUAAAAAUAUUCUAAUCCUCAAUAAAUAUUACUAUUAUAUGUACAUCUCUAUAUCCUAUUAGAAGCGUUAAGUUGGUGUAAGUUCAUGCAAUCAUAUCAUGCGCAGUACUUUAGAAUUAGUUAGUGAGGUUCCUAAAAAAAGUUAUCACAAUAAAAAAAAUUAUUUUCUGCAACUUCAAUUAUAAUGAACUAAAUAGCAAAAAUAGAAUAACAUCUAAAAAUGGCAAAAAAAUAUGAAGUAUCGCCCACUUCAGAUUUUCUUGCACAGAAGCAAAUUGGCGUCAUUCUAUUAAAAAAUGAAGAAAAUGGGAAAAAGAAAACUUCAUAAUUAUAAAGCCUAGUUCACAAAUUGCUUAGCUAUUAUGAGCAUAAUCAUCUCCCCAAUCAAUGAAAUUGGAGGAAUUAGAGAGAAGUGCUCUUUCAAUUGGAGUGCUCUAAACUUCGAUAAUGAUCAGUUAGUCAACUUUUUUAUAUAUUAAUAAUCACCAAUGCUUGCACUGGGUUUUGAUUAUAAAAUAAAUAAAAAUGGAAAGGCCAAUAUGCAUGAAGUCAUUUGUCUUUUUUGUUCGUAAAUCAUACUCAAUCGCUGUACUCCAACAACCUAUCAUAUUACGUACGUGUAUUAUACAAUAAAUAUUAACUCUAAACUAUCAUAUUGAGUGAUAAUUAGUAUGAUAUUGCACACAAUCUAUGUUUAACAAGAGAAAAUACAGAUUACCUUUUUCAGAAAAAGAAAUGGCGAAAAAAAGGAAAAAAUAAAAGAGACAAAAGGAUAGCUGGAUAAUAAAUAGUAGCAAUUCUUUGGCGGUUGCCAACAUUGCAAGUCUUAUUUCGUAACUAGAUGACAAUAUUUAGUCAAUGUCCUGACUAAAAUAAAAUUAAAAAUCGGAAUAAAUUAUCCAACCAACGCCACCACAGAAGGGAAAAUAUUAGGAUUCGUAUUGAAUCAUCCGCAGAUUGACACGUGGCAACGCCGGACCCACUGCUCUCCUCUUCCUGUUAUGGCUCUGCUCCCUCACUCUCUUUCCUCAGCGAAGGUGCAUCUAUACGUGAACCACACCACCGCCUUGGCCUCCAUCAGUUGCGGUGAAAAUAGAAAAAGGAAGAAAUUAGAUCAAGUCUAUUGGGUGUUUUAGACUUUUCCCCCCUUAAGAAUUGUUCUCUCUCAGCCAUUUCGGUUCACCUUGAUCCUCCUUUUCGCAACGAGGAAAAAAAAAAGUUGAACCAAAUCUACACAGUCAAAGUAACAAUAACUCUUCUUUCUUCCCCUCGCCCCCCUUCCUCUACUUUCUUUUUUUGGGGCGAUUGAUUGGGUGGUCCGUCCAAUGGUUGAAUCGGAAGCUUCGGAAUCGCUUCUCUGAAACUCCCCUCCUCUCUGUGCGCGUGCUUCCAUGGGUUCCGAGUGAUUACGCGAACCGGAGCUUGUUGGUUAUGGUGGGUCGAAGUGGGUCUCCGAAGCGGAAGCGAUUUCGGCGAUGAUUCGGUCGGGGCGUUGAUUCUGGCGAAGAAAAAUUAAAAAAAUCUUCUCUUCAGCCCUCUCUUCCUCCUCCUUCGUCCCACAGCCGCCCGACCUCCGCCCCUCCUCCCCUAUCGCCAACGGCGGAGUCACCGGUGCCUUGAUUAGGCUGACCCCCGCUAUGUCCAAGCCGCGUAUGGCCGGCUUCCUCUGUUUUGUCCGUCUCAUCAUUCUACAGAUCUCGAAAUCUGGCCGUCCAUAGCGACGGAGUUGCAGAUCUGGAAGUUGACCACCGCCGCUCGCAGCCAUGGACGAGCCGCUGUUGCUAGAAACAUGGUUGCAGAUCUAGAAGUCCCGUCGCGAGCAACGACGGCUUAUGGACUGCCAUUGUCCCCUCCGUCGUCGCCCGCGAUUGGCUCGUGGUCGUCGCCCGUCCAGAUCUGGGCUGGAGUCGUGCCUCCAGAUCUUGCAGAUCUAGAAGUCCCGUCGCGAGCAACGACGGCUUAUGGACUGCCAUUGUCCCCUCCGUCGUCGCCCGCGAUUGGCUCGUGGUCGUCGCCCGUCCAGAUCUGGGCUGGAGUCGUGCCUCCAGAUCUAGUAUCGUCCAUGGACGCAAGCCUAGCUCGUCCAUGGCUCGCCAGGAGGCUCCUCCACAGAUCUGGCGACCGCAGCUUGUCCAUGGCCAUGAGUCUUGACGGCGAGUUUGAGAUCCCUUCGUCCAUGGACUGCGAGGUCAAACGGCGAAAGAGAGAACAGAGAAAUAGAUGUCAGGGAAGAGCGGCCAUGGACGAGAGGCGUCAUGAAUGAGUAGACCACAGAGACGAUGUAGAGGGUUGGACGCUCGGCAAUGGUCGCCUUGGACGCGACGCCGGCAACUCCGCCGGUGGCGAUGGCUGGGGGACGCGGGAAGGUUGGGCUCAAUGUGGCUGGAGAUGGAGGAGAAAGCGUAGAUGGAGAAGGAAAGUGAGGGGAAUUGAGAUUUUUUAUAUUGAGUCAUCUGACCAAAAAACAGUCAAUAUUUAGUUAAUGUUGUAGCUACAUAAAAAAAUUAAAAAAAAAAUGGACUCAAUCAUCCAGUCAACACUUCCUUUCCGUCUCAUGAAGUUCUCCUCAUGUGAAGACUAAACGCAGUAAAUGACGACCUCCUCCGGCACUUCUUUUUUUGGGUCGAAACUGAGGCACUUGAAAAUGCGCGAUAUCAUUUUUUUAUUACAGAUUCUAUACAAGUUUUUUUUUUCCCCUAACACACGAAAUCCUUUUUUUUUCCUUAUUCUAAUACUUUUGCGCAAUUCUUUCUAUCGUUUUAUACUAGUAGAAUAGAAUGUUUAAUUAUAACAAGUAUCUACACAUCUGUUUACUUUUUAAUUGUAAGAAUUAUCACUAAUUAUUUAUUUAUAAUGCCAUUUGCAUGGAUAAGUUAUUAUAUAAUACCUAGCCCCACAUUCUAAGAAUAUUUCAAAAAGUCAUUAUAACACUCAAUCAACGAUACUAAUAAAUUUGGGGAAGUAUGAAAAUAGUCACCUGAUCUUUUGGUAGUGACAAGUUGUGAUAGAAUUGUUUUCAUUUUAGUGUCAAAUAUGAGCUGUCAUAUAAUAAUUGAUUUCUCCCACAUUAUUAGAUAAUUUAAAAAACUCAUAAAAAUCCUCAAUUAAGAAUAUUGAUAGAUUUAAGGAAGUGUGGAAAGUCUUUUUUUUUUUUUUUUGUGACAAGUCGUAAUUGCAUUAAAUAUAUUUUAACCAAAUGAAAAAUAUCAAUACUUACUUUUAAAUGGACAAUUCGUCGAGGUCAUGAUGUAGCAAAAAGAAAAAAAGAAAAAAAAGCACUCUUGAUUUUCUCCAUACAAACAAAAUGCAAUCAGUGGGUGCACACCCACUUUUUGCCAAAGGGUGGACCACUCGUACGCCACAAGAUUCUAUUUUUUUUUUUCACCUCAAAUUUGAAUAAAAUAUUAUUUCAAGGAUGUUAUUAAAGGUCCAAUGUAAAACUAGUAAAUUGUCCCAACUUGCUUUUGCUGAGAUCAUAACAUUAUGUUAUUUAUUCAAGUCGUUAUGUUGCCCAUGCCUAUUAAGAAAUUAUUUUCUUUUAGUACAAAAUUUUUCCAUGCAUAAAAAAGAAAAAGGUUGUGAACAAUUGAAGUUACUAUAUUUAUUUUUUUAUAUCCGGUUCGCCAUAUCCUUGACCUUAGCCAUCAGUCAACUUGUAUAAAAGCAUCAAUCAACCUCUCCCUAUUUAUGUCCCCAACAAAAUCUUGAGUUCUCAUGAUUUGUGAGAACAAGGGAAGUCUGGAAAUUCCUUCUUUAAGGUCAUAACUCAAUGUAAUCACAUUCAUUGUGUCAUUUUUUUUCUCACUAUGGCAGGUACAAUUUCCUGAACUUAGGUCGAUGGAUCUCUCCCACAUGAACAAUUUAAGCAAAAUAUGGACUGACACUCCUCAAGAAACUCUUACUUUUGAUUGUCUAAGGAAAGUGGAGGUUCGGAAUUGUAAGGGCCUUGAAAAUUUGUUUCCGUAUUGGGUGGCUACAAGUUUAACCCACCUUGAAAAACUUCAAGUGGAGUCUUGUGAGAUCGAGGAAAUAGUCGCUAAUGGGGGUGACACUCCAAGCUCCAAUACUACUCAAGAUCUUUUCCCAGUACUAACCUCUUUGGUGUUACGUGACAUGCCACGACUCAAGAGUUUCUAUCCUAACUUGCCCACUUUGCAUUGGCCAUUAUUGGAGGAAUUACGAGUGAUUCACUGUGACAAACUGAACAUGUUAUCCUUUACGGCAUCCAUGAACAGUUGGGCUCAAAAAUAUGAUCAACAAGACCUUUCAAAUCAAGAAGCACACUCUUCAUUCGAGAGGGUAUGAUUGUAGCUACUCUCCAUUAGUUUCUACUUUGUUCUUUAAAGCAGUCAUUAAUAUCAUAUCCAUUGCAUAUCAUGUCGCGUUAUAAUGUUAUAGAAAACAUGAUCUCCCUUACUUAUUAGUUUGUCGACAACAUUAAGAUAUUUCUAAUAUCUUAAGUAUACUUUCAUUUGUGGACAUGCAUAAGAUAUUCCAUUACCUAGAGUUACAAAAAUAUUUAUAGUAUUCUAUUGACAACAGAAUAUAUUCCUAAUCUAACUGAAUGGUGCUCCUUGGUGACAUCAAUAAGAAUUUGACAAGAGGUCCUCUCAAUUAUUGACAUGUGUCGCACAUUUGAACUUUUCUUCUCUAUUUCAUCUUCUACAAACUCUAAAAAAACAC
RNAcentral lists this long non-coding RNA (80421 nucleotides) under Eucalyptus grandis. RNAcentral's name for it is "long non-coding RNA (EGRA_LNC004061)". The record is from RNAcentral. Lineage: Eukaryota; Viridiplantae; Streptophyta; Magnoliopsida; Myrtales; Myrtaceae.